UAUAGUUAUUAAUCUUAUGCUUUCAAUUAUACAAUUUUUUUAUUAUGAUUACAACAAAAAAUCAUAUUAAAAUCGGUGAACAUGAAUAUAAUAUACCAUUUAAUACUAAAAAAAUUAAUAACAUUAUUAUUACUCAAAUCAAAAAUUACAACGGAUAGAAAACGAAUAUCAAUUAUCCGUUCGACCGACCCAAUUUGUUUCCUAGUAUAUGCAAUUAUUGAUGGUCGAAUAAAAAAGCAAAGAGUACUUGUCAAAGUAAAAAAAAAAAAAAGAGAGAAAACAAAUCCCCAAAAUGUACGCCUCUCUCGCCAUCCUUCCCUAAGAUCUUAAUUUCCUCCGCACCUUCCUUGCACAAGUUUCCCCUUUUUCCAAAAUUAACGUCGAUCAAAAUAUCCCAUCGCCUUUUUCAAAUUUCUGAAGCAGAAAAAUCCUCCCUUUCUCAGAAUCAAGCUCUCCUCCUCCUCAUCCUCCCACCGUUGAUUUCAUGGGCUUUGCUUGAUGGAUCCUCCGUCGCUUUUAUUACCUUUCUUCUACACUGCUCCUCCUCCUCCCGUGUUCCGUAAUAAUCCAAUCUCCACCAUCGCCACGAUUUUGUCUCUUCAAUCACAAUCUAUUUCCUUCGCUCCUUGAUUCCAUUACCAGCCGCCCCCUUUUUUGGGUCUGUUUGUUUUUCACGCCAACGAUCUCUGAUUCGGUCAAGAUGAGUGUGGCCAAGUCUCAGGUGUGGCAGCCUUGUAAGAAGAAGAGGUCUUGAUAUAGGACUAGAGUUUUGUUCUUAUACACGAUUAGCUGAUAGAGAAGAUAUGGCGACUCGGGGGCACGGUGGGAGUGGCAGCAGGACGCGCGUUGGGAGGUACGAGCUUGGAAGGACUCUUGGGGAAGGAACCUUCGCUAAGGUGAAGUACGCCAGGAAUAUCGAGACUGGGGAGAACGUUGCUAUCAAGAUUCUUGAUAAAGACAAAGUCCUCAAGCAUAAGAUGAUCUCUCAGGUUCAUCCUCCUAGCUAGCUUCAUUUUGUGGAUUGUUUGUUCUCCUGAUUGUUUGGUUUGAUAUUUGUUCAUUGUUAUGCUGAAUUGCUUGUUUCUUUUGAUCGAUUUUGAUUUGCUUUUGCUGAGAUUGUGGUUUGAUGAAACGCCUUGUUUGGUCAAAAGAGAAUGCAGGGAAUCGCUGAUUGCCUUUCUGUUUGCUCUUUUCUUAUGAAGUAAAAGUCAACUUUACAUGGUGCCGAUUUGUCCUAUUCUACCCACCUUGUUUUUUCUGCUCCCUACUGCUAAAAAUUGAGCCUUAUAAAUUGUUUUCAUCAAUGAUUAAGUUUCUUUGCUGUUUCAUUUCAUCACUGCAGAAUGAUGCAUGUUUUGUGGAUUCAACAAUCCCCAGCUUUGUACUUGGUCGUUCGUCAAUAUGGUGUCAGCAAUUGCUUGUUUUUUGAACCCUUAAAUCUUUUCUUGCAGAUUAAGAGAGAAAUAUCGACAAUGAAGCUUAUUCGGCACCCAAAUGUCAUCCGUAUGUUUGAGGUGAGAAGUUGAGCCGCUUUCAAUCAAAAGCAGAUUAUGUUUUCUGCAUCUUCCCAACUUGUAAUCUAUCUCAUCCUGUAAAAAAAAGAAUCAUGCUUUGUUCGCGAAUUUUUUGUUUGAUGCAUUCCAAGUUCUAGCUGGUUCUCCCAUCAUCUCUGGUCAGUAACUUAACUUGCCUCAACAAUUGUUUUGCAGGUGAUGGCAAGUAAAACCAGAAUAUACAUUGUGAUGGAAUUCGUGACUGGUGGUGAACUUUUUGACAAAAUCGUACGACCUUACAAGCUUGACACUGCCUAUUUCGAAAUUGCAUGCAGUACACGAGGUUUAAAUGCUUUUUUGUUGCUCUGUUUCUUUAAUCUAGGCUAGUAAAGGAAGGCUGAAAGAAGAUGAAGCGAGGAAGUAUUUUCAGCAGCUUAUAAAUGCUGUCGAUUAUUGCCACAGUAGAGGUGUUUACCAUAGAGACCUAAAGGUAUGCAGUCAUUUGUAUUCUUAAUUUUAAGGUAUUGUACAAUAUGCCCCUCAAGUUCAAUUAAAAAAAUCGAUUGACGGAGCUUUUACUGUAUCUUUGUCAGCCUGAGAAUCUGCUGCUAGAUACUUCUGGAUCACUUAAAGUGUCAGAUUUUGGAUUGAGUGCAUUACCUCAGCAAGUUCGUGUGAGUAAAAUUAGUUCUUGAUCAAUUGAUUAUCUGUUUCUCAAUUUCAUUCUCGUGCAUGAAGCUUAAAUUCUUUCUGAACUGAUUUCUUCUUUGUCCCGCAGGAGGAUGGGUUACUUCACACAACAUGUGGCACCCCAAAUUAUGUUGCUCCUGAGGUACAAUUGUUUCUGCAUUUAAAUUGAUCUCCUAGCUCAUUAAUGCUUUGUUCUCAUUUUCUUAUUGUGGCCUUAUCCAGGUAAUCAACAAUAAAGGCUAUGAUGGAGCCAAGGCAGAUUUAUGGUCUUGUGGUGUGAUUCUCUUUGUCUUGAUGGCUGGGUACUUGCCUUUUGAGGAUUCAAACCUUGUGCAAUUGUACAAAAAGGUAUCUUUUAUUUCCUUCCAACACUAACUAUUGGGUUCUAUAUAUGGGGGUGCUUUUGGUGAUAUAUUGUCGAUAUUCAAUCAAUUUGGCACGGCUCGGGAGAAAUCCUAACAAAUCAAGGUUUUACCUGAGAAUAUCUCCUACUGCAGAUUUUUAAAGCCGAGUUCUCAUGUCCUCCUUGGUUCUCCACUAGUGCAAAGAAAUUAAUCAAAAGAAUAUUGGAUCCCAAUCCAGCUACUGUAAGUAAUCCUUCAUUCUUCCCAACAUGUUCUUGAUGAAUUUAUAGUGAUUGCAUCAAGACUUAAUGAAUUUACUGCAUCGGCUUGUGUUAAUAUGACAGCGGAUCCCUAUUGCUGAGGUUAUUGAAAACGAGUGGUUCAAGAAAGGGUAUAAACCACCAGUUUUUGAAAAUGCUGAUGUUAGUCUCGAUGAUGUGGAUUCCAUCUUCAAUGAUUCAGCGGUAAGGUUUCUGCUCCUCACUUUAUGUAUUCAUGAUCUUAGUGUGAUGCCUUGUGGAGCUGAAAGCGGCAUUUUAAUGACAGGACUCUAGGAAUCUUGUUGUGGAAAGGAGGGAAGAUGGGCCCAUCGGUCCUGUGGCUCCUGUGACCAUGAAUGCUUUUGAAUUGAUCUCUACUUCUCAGGGUCUCAAUCUCAGUAGCUUGUUCGAGAAGCAGAUGGUAUGUUUUCUUAAUGAGCAAUCAUCGUGCAUUAGAUAUGUUUCUGUAUGUUCCUCGACUGUUAAUUAGUUGAUGGAAUGGAGCAGAAUGGAACUCACAUUUCAUUUCUCGUGAUUAGGGACUUGUUAAACGUGAAACUAGAUUCGCGUCGAAAAGGUCUGCCAAUGAGAUAAUGUCACAAAUUGAAGCAACAGCAAUGCCUUUGGGUUUCGGUGUGAAGAAGAAUAACUUCAAGGUUUGAUCUUUUACCCUAUAUAUCGUACUGAGGAACUCUAUAAAGAAGUUGGGGUAUUUUUUCAAAAUCUCAUGGCUGCUCCGUCAUGAACAUAGAUGAAGCUUCAGGGAGAGAAGACAGGGCGUAAAGGGCAUCUGUCAAUUGCAACUGAAGUAAGUUCAAUCUUACUAGAUCAAAACUUUAGCCGUAUUGUGUGUGGAUUGAGGAUUUGACAAUAUCUAUGGUUUCAGAUAUUUGAGGUCGCUCCUUCUCUUUACAUGGUUGAGCUUCGGAAGUCUGGUGGCGAUACCCUUGAAUUCCACAAGGUAUGUGAUGUUGUCUUUUUUCCUCUUGAUCCAAAUUUGGAGAAAAGAGUAGUUGGAUGACGGUAGUGAAAUGUUGAUGCAGUUUUACAAUAGCCUGUCGACGGGACUGAAGGAUAUUGUUUGGAAGACGGUGGAUGAAGAAAAGGAGGAAUAGAGUGUUAAGCUUGAAACCAAAGGUAUAUGAGCCGGUUUGGGUGAUGGGUUUGUGAUUUUAUUGUACUCGAUCUAAUCGGCUGAUGUUGUCCUCAUUAUUUUAGCAGGUGGUGUAUUAAAUAAGUGAGUAAAAUGUCCGGUGCAGCUGCUGCAGUUGUAGUUGGGAUAUUUAUCUACUGCUAUUUUUAUAUUUGGUUCAGAUUUUAUAGUGGGAUUGACAUGAAUGUUCAAUUCAAAUAGAUGGGUGGGUGUGUUGUGUAAUAUUACUGUAUCUUACAAAUAAGUAAUUAGUAUUGGACCCAACAUCACAGUAUUUAGAGGAAGUGAUGUUGGCUUUUUGUAAGUUAACUUGUUCUUUUCUUGAGCUUGUGCUGUUUAAUUCAUCUAUUGGACCAGAAAUCCUCCCGUCAAUAACCAGCAUCUUAUCUCGUUUGGCUGGUAUAUAUGAUUUGUAUUUUAAUUUAUUUAAUUUUAAUAGGAUAAAUUAUAUUUUAGUAGAGGUUGAUGUGUUAUUUUUAUUUUUNNNNNNNNNNNNNNNNNNNNNNNNNNNNNNNNNNNNNNNNNNNNNNNNNNNNNNNNNNNNNNNNNNNNNNNNNNNNNNNNNNNNNNNNNNNNNNNNNNNNNNNNNNNNNNNNNNNNNNNNNNNNNNNNNNNNNNNNNNNNNNNNNNNNNNNNNNNNNNNNNNNUUCCUGUCAUUAAAAAUAAAAAUAGUAAGUUUAUAAAAAUACUGAAUUUUUAGUUGACAUAUGUCUAGUAUCAUAAUAUAAACGUUCAAUUAUUUAGCACUUAGACCUGAUAAGAUCAUCUCCAAUGCUAAAUCUCAAAUUGCUAUAUUGGAGUCUUAUAUUUGGCACUUUGCAUUUGUCAAAAGGUGUUUUGCUCCAAUAGUGUAGUCCUAUAUUUAAGAUCGGUAGUUUUAUAAGUUUGAUCUAAUGUUGAUUUUGUCAUUUUAAUUUAAUAAUUUGAUCAUUAUUUUUAUAUAGAUAUAAUUAAUUAAUUGAAAGAAACAAUUCGAUAUAAUUUUUUUUGAAUUUGCAUAUAAAUUUUUUAAUCAAUAUGACCACAUAAAUAAAAUAAUAAAUAAUUAAAAAUUAUUGUAAUUAUAAAUGUUAAACUUUAUUUUAUAAUUACAAUAACAACCAAUUAAUAAAAGUCACAUGUAUUCAACUAAGACUUUCAUAUAUUAGAUUAUUUCUCUUUUUAGUGAAAUUUACGUGGCUAUAUUUUAUUUAUUGGGUAAAUAUAGACAUUUGUUUUCUACGGUUGUUGAUUUUGAUAUUAGAUUAUUUUUUUAAAGAAAAUGAAAUAUAUCAAGAUUGAUGUCAUUCUAUUCGAAAAAUUAUAACGAAUAACAUUUGUUAAGGUAAUAAUAUGUUUUGAGUAAACUAUAAUAAUCGGAAAAACUAAUUAAAAUGGAAAAAAAGAUGUGAGUUUUAAAUUUAAAAAAUUAAAAUAGAAAAAUAAAGAAAAUAAAUAUUUUAAAGGUGUUUGGUUGAAAAGAGAAAAUUAUAGAGAAAGUUUAAGCACUUGUCCCACAAGAAGAUCCCACAAUCAAAACCAGAAAGAAAACCAGCUUCCACUCAUCCGAAAAACCCUUAGUCUCCCCGGCCAGAUAGUACCUCCUAACCAGAAGCGCCAGAGCCACCAGCGAGAAAAUAAACAACGUAGAAAUCGACAGAAGAUUCGACAGAACGUCCAAGCUCGUAAAGAAUGCCACGAUCGAAUUCGCUACCGUCAUCACAACAGUGGCCACCAACGGAGUCCCAGUUCUGGCAUUAAUGUAAGCAAGAACAGGCGGAGCCAUGUGUAUACGGCUUAUAUGAGUGAAGUAUCGAGAUUGUGCAAUGACAUUAGCAAGAAGAACAGUCGUCAUUCCUUUCAAAGCACCGAAUGCUACUAUGUAUUUCGUCCAAUCCAUCCCUGCGGAUUUGAAUGCUAUAGAGAAAGCAGCAUCUGUAUUGAUCUGGGUGUAACUCUGCAUCAAUGUGAGGCAUGCUGCUAAAGAACAGUAAAAAAUGAUUACUACUGUCAUGUAUCCGAUCAGUCCCAGAGGAAUAUCUCGUCCUGGAUUUUUAACCUCUUCCCCGAGAGUAGCGACUCCGUCGACACCUACGUUAGGCGAAGAACAACAUUGCCGAAGCUUUCAUUACUCCACGAACUCCAAACGGAGCGAAAUUUCUGGUAAAGUUUUCAGGGUUGGCUUUUCUGAAACCGGCGACGAGGAUGAAGAGCAAGACGAGCAAGUGGAGGAUUGUGGUGAUUGAAUUGAAUAUAAUAUUUUUAAAGCCUUGGUUUUAAUUUCAAUUUAUCUGCUCUUAUUUUCUUAUGAAUGUACAUAAUAACAUAAUAUAAAUAUGUAACAUGUGAUUAUAUACUAUUUAUAAAUAGAUAUUCAUCUUAUAUUAAUAUUGAUAUAAAUAAUAAAGUUCUAUUUUCAUUUUUCUUAUAUCUCUUCCUCUUCAUUAUUUCUUUUAAUUAUCUUGUCGAUUCAUUAGUUUUAUAACGAUUAACAAAUUUUAGAAUUCUAGGUGGAUUUUAAUAUCCAUAUAUUUUAGAAAUGAAGUGAUGAGGUCGAGACUUUUAAAAGAAAGUUUAGUUUUUUUUUUGAAUAGAUAUGAUCAAAUAGUAAUUAUUGAAUAAUGAAAUGAUUCUACGAGUACAAUUUUACGUUAUUUUUUAUCCGAUUUUAUUACCAUACUCACGUUUAUGAUUGUGGGUUGAUUUUGAAAUCGGCUCGGGUAGCUAACCAAUGCUACCCGAUCAGCCCUUAUUUCUGUUUGUGUCAUCUCCAGGCCGGUCUCCCUCUCCAAAACCCUCAAACUAGGGUUUAAGAAAAUAGACCGAGGGGAAGAAAGAACACAGGGAAAGGCGCUAAAUGCUACCCGAUCAGCCCUUAUUUCUGUUUGUGUCAUCUCCAGGCCGGUCUCCCUCUCCAAAACCCUCAAACUAGGGUUUAAGAAAAUAGACCGAGGGGAAGAAAGAACACAGGGAAAGGCGCUAAUGGGGGAACCGAGAGAUGGCAACGUUCCAGUUCUGCCAUGGAUGAGGCAACCAGUUGAUGUCACUCAAUUUGAAGAAUGCCCAGUCGAUCUUCUGCCUUGCCUUGAUCACAGGUACAUAUAAUCCCCCCCUCCAGGUUGGAAUUUGCUCGGCUAAUGCAGCUCAUCUUUGUAUCUUCUUCUUUUUUAUUGCUGAAGUUUUCUACUUUCGCUUCAGGCUUAAGGAUGCGUUGCAGAAAAUCGGAUUCUCAUCAAUCUUCCCCAUACAAGUUGCCGUCUGGCAGGAGACAAUCGGUCCUGGCGCUUUCGAGCGAGAUUUGUGCAUAAACUCGCCUACAGGCAGUGGUAAAACUUUGGCCUACGCUUUACCAAUCGUGCAAGCAUUGUCGACCCGCACGGUUAAAUGUUUGCGCGCUUUGGUGGUCUUGCCCACACGUGAUUUAGCCUUGCAGGUUCAGCACCCCUUCUGUCUGUUUAUCAAUUGAUGAGAUGAUAGUUUCCUGAAGUGAUGCGCCUGUAUUCAUCAUAAUAGCUUGAAUACAUGUUGUUUAGGUGAAGGAGGUGUUUGCUGCAAUUGCACCGGCUGUAGGCUUAUCUGUUGGUCUUGCUGUGGGGCAAUCCUCAGUUGCAGAUGAAAUUUCCAAUCUUAUAAAGCGACCCAAGCUUGAGGCGGGCAUUUGCUAUGAUCCGAAUGAUCUUCCUGUCGAGUUACAAAGUUCGGUUGAUAUAUUGGUGGCAACCCCUGGGAGGCUAGUGGACCACAUUACAUCGACCAAGGGAUUUACUUUAGAGCAUCUCUGCUAUCUAGUAAGUUGCAAUUUUGGUGUGGAAAGCGUCUCUACCACUUCAAAGUCUAACUUGAUCAUCCAAUGUUUCUGUUGUUAGUUGGAAUAUAAGGCUUUAGUCUGUUCUGUUGAAGUUUCGCUAGGUUGCUGUUCAAUCUGGUUUCUACAUAGCUUUGUGGUCAUUUAACUUUAACUUGUGAUUUUACCGAUAUCGCUGUUUCAGGUGGUUGAUGAAACAGAUAGAAUGCUCAGGGAGUCUUACCAGUCUUGGCUUUCCACCGUUCUUACUCAAUCACAGUCUGCUCAAGAAAUCUAUGUGCCAUGUAUUAAUACUGUUCUUCCAAUGGCAUUUGGUCCUUUGAAAACCAUAAGAAGAUGGUAUGUCUUGUUUUUAUCUUGCAUAUUAUUUAUACCAAGUUAUCUGUUUCAUGUUCCUGUAGAAGUUGUUCUGAAUCGUACAAAGUUUAUUUCAUUUUCCAGUGGGGUUGAGAAAGGAUUUAAGGGAAAACCUUAUCCUAGGCUUGUGAAGAUGGUUUUAUCAGCCACAUUAACCCGAGAUCCUAGCAAGCUUGCUCAACUUCAUCUGCACCAUCCUUUGCUAGUGACAACUGGGAAUAAGCGCUAUCAGCUUCCGGAAAAAUUAGAAUCCUACACUUUGGUAAGCUCUUAUGUUUCUGUUGAGUUUUGGAUGUGUGAUGAAGGACCUUUUGGUCAUUAAACUUUCUUUUCUAAAACCUAGUCUGUUAUCCAUUUGACAGGUAUGCGAAUCGCAGCUGAAACCCUUGUACUUGGUUGCUAUUCUACAAACUUUAGGAAAAGAGAAAUGCAUUGUUUUCACAUCAUCAGUGGAAUCUACGCAUAGGCUUUGCACCCUCAUGAAUUUUUUUGACGAUGUGAAGCUUAAUAUCAAGGAGUAUUCUGGUCUUCAACGCCAAUCUGUGAGAAGGUACUCUUAGUAUACAAAUGACCAUUUUAAAUUCUUACUAAUUGAUCUGUAACUACACACCUACAAUCAUAUGUUUUUAAUCUGGGUUUUAGUAUUGGACAUGUAAUUUGUAACACAACUUUAUAUAAUCAUAUGGUUUUGCAGCGAGACUUUGAAUGCAUUCCGAGAAGGGAAGAUACAGGUGCUUGUUUCCUCUGAUGCAAUGACUCGUGGAAUGGAUGUUGAAGGGGUGAGGCAUGUUGUCAAUUAUGACAUGCCUUCAUAUAUUAAGACCUACAUACAUAGGGCUGGUAGGACAGCAAGAGCUGGUCAAACGGGGCGAUGCGUUACAUUGUUGAAUGAAUUUGAGGUAUGGGUUUUUCAAAAGAACGUUUAAAGCUGUUACAAUGUUAUAUGGCCUGUCUAUGUGGGGUAAAAGAGUACACUAUAGCUAAUGGUCUCUACUGUUCUUCCCUCAACCAUUAAUCUUAAUUUUCAAUGCUUUACCAAAACAUAAUCAUCUUCUCUUUUCUUAUUUUCCUUUUCUCUCAGGUCAAGCGCUUCAAUAGAAUCUUACAGAAAGCUGACAUCAAAUCUUGUCCUACCUACUCCGUACCUUCUGGCUCUAUCGAGGCACUUCAAGCAAUUUAUCAGUCAGGUAAUGCAUUGAAUCUUCUUCUGUGUUGAUAGGAGUCAUGUGAUUAUGUCUUACAAAUCACUUAUCCAUUUGUUCUUGUCUUGUUCCUGUUCACUAGCACUUGGGAAGCUAAAGGAGAAAGUUGAAUCAGAAACUCACAAGAAGCGCAAAUUUGCCCCAAAAUAUUCCAGAAGAAUCCAAUCAGAGCGACCAAACAAAAACAAGGAUUGAUCAGUAUAUUUAUACUAGUAUGGAUUCUGUCUUUCUGCUAACUGUAAGCACUUACAGGUUAGUUUCAUAGUCCUAUCUUGUACAUCAAUUACUACACAACUAGGCAUAUGCUUUUUAUAUUCUGGGAGUAGCAGUCAGUUCAUCAUACAGAUGUAGGGAAUAGUUGUAGGAUUGUGAACUUCAUUCUAAGUGCUGAGGUUAUCUAUCUAUGGCUUUCGUAUGCUACAUUCCAGAUUGCUUCAUCUUAAUGGCGUGCCGUGUAAGUUGGGGUGGGCAAUUGGUGAUGUCCUAACCCUACCGCGGUCAACUGCAGAAAAACCAAUCCGCAUUGCACACUGCAUUAUGAUUUGAUAUGCGGUUUGUGUUUUUCAAUUAUCUGUUUGCAGUUCGAUGGUUUCAUCUGCAAACUGCAAGUGAAAAACCCUUCUAUGAAAUUAAUCUUAUUAGCUCACUUCUUAAUUUUUAAGUCUUCCAUCGUCCAACUGAAAAUGUAUAUUAAUAAAAAUUACUCGUGCUAAGGUCCGAGUGUCUGACAAUUGUUGUUUCCUUUUUCUGCAUUCCCAUUAGCUGUCUUUAUCGUGCAUUAAAUAUAUCAGCCCUUCAUACAGGAAAAAAAUAGUAUCUAAAUAUGAAGAAAGUAAAGUGCAGUAUGCUUGUUUAUAACUUGUUAAUAUCAUUGAAUAAAUUAAAUUUAGAGCUAAAUCUUGAAUAAGUAGAUCCUUAACUUUGAAAAAGGCGAUAUGGUGAUGAUGCCAGUAUGUUCAGGACAGACCCAGAACAUGAAAUGUGAGAAGAUUCAACCAAGUGUAGCUGUCCAUAUCUCUCUAUCUGUUAGUGCGGUGCGAAGGAGACUAAUUAGUAUCAAAUUGUGGAAAGUUGGUGCUUAUCGUUUUCAUUAUUAUCAUCAUCAUAUUUUCAACAAACAAACAAAGAUGACCCGAGUACAGGGGAAGUGACAUUGUCCACGAUCAUCAUUUAUUGUGUUUGGGAUGACUUGGAUUUUGGACCCUAAACCCAAAUUUGUACAGAAUAAGAAAUGCAAAAGUACUAUAUACUUGAUGAAAUCUGAAUCCAUAUUCCUGAUUCCUCGUCAUAAAAUUUGAAUCUUGUCGCCCCCCUGAAUUUUAGCCAGCCUUCACAUUUGAAUUUUUAAACCUUAAACCCUAAUCUAACCUAACACUUCACCCUCUCCAAAUUUGAUUUCGUAUAUGGGUAUCGAACAUGCUCGGAACAUGUCAGAAAUGGGUAGAGCGUUCAUCCUGAAUUAGUUCCGGAUUCGGAUUGGUGGACUUGAAGCGAAGACUUUCAAGGGAAGAAAAGUAGGAUUAAAUUGCCCAACCUUGUUGAAAAACUUACCUAAAGAACUAGAACCCUUUUUGGAAAUCUCCGACGCCCACUGUUUACCUGAUUGCUCUGUUUUUUUCCCCGCGGCUGUGCUAACAUGCAAGUGUAAGACCACUUAUCCUGAAGCUGGGUCUUAACUAUUCCCUUUGAAGUUUUUUGGUAUCAAAUAAUUUAUCUAAAUACGGGCAUACUCAUUCAUUUAACCGUAUCUACGAGUUGGAUUUCUUAAACUGAAGCCAAUUUGUUCAAACGGAAUUCUUUGCUCGGAACAGAAUAAAAUGUAAUAUCACUAUAUAUAAUUUCAUGUUACAACAUGUUAUGUUAUUAUACUUAAGUUUCCGCUAUGCGUGUCCUUAUAGCUCAUUUAUCGCUGCAUUUGAAACCCAUAAUCCAAUUUCUAAAUACUGACAUGGAUCGCAUUUUACUCGCUCGAAUCUAGUAGCUAUGGUUUUAGUCGAGGAUGAGGUCAAGAUGGGAAUAAAAAAGAAAACACACUUUUAUUAUUUGAGAGCAAAAAAUGAAGAACGUAAAAACUGUCGACUUCUUUCUCUCUUGUUUCUGUCCCCACAAUCAGACAUAAUGUAAUUCAUUUUUAUUUAUUUAUAUAUAAGCCGGCAAGGAGGGGAAUCUCUCUUCACUCACCGUAACUACCUCACACUCUCCUCCUCUCUUCCUUUUUCUUCUUAAUUUCUUACAAUCGAUCAAUUCAAUACUACUACUGCUACUGCUACUUGUUGAUUAAGUGGCGGGUGAUCAAUAUAAUGGAGGGAGUGCACGCAGCGCCACCGGAUUCAUCGGCUUUCAAAGAAUGCUUCGCCCUCACUUGGAAGAACCCUUAUGUUCUCCGCCUCGCUUUCUCUGCCGGAAUUGGCGGCCUUCUCUUCGGUUACGACACCGGAGUCAUAUCCGGAGCUCUUCUCUACAUCAGAGACGACUUCAAGUCCGUCGACAGACAGACCGUUCUUCAGGUACUCUCAUUGUUUCAAACCAGAAAUUAGAUCAAUAGAGAAAUAAGAAUUGGUUGAUUUUGGUACAUCCCGACACGCGCACAUGUGCUGUCGCGUGUCUCUCGUCACUCACCCAGACUGUACUUAGGAAACGCAAAGAGCAAAACUCUUUUGUUUUUUAUUGUUUCGUUUUCCUGCAUCGAUAGUUUCCGGAGUGUUUAUCGUAUUCUUCCAUUGAUAAACUAUGGAGAAAGCUGUCACUCAGUCAAGUCAACCUAGAAAAUGAUGGAUUUUUCUUUUUUUAUUUAUAUUUUAUUAUUUCUGGCUUAGGACUGUUGUCUCCUAAUUUUAAUUUACGGAUCCAAAUUGUUUUUUUCCGGAACAAAGUAUAUAAUAAAGUACUGGAAUGCCGUAAGACAUUUGUCAAUCCCAAUUGAAGAAGACUGACUAUGAAGUGGAUAUGGAUCAUGAGUGAUGUGGGCCUGCGGGUGGGCUUUUCAAAAUAUUUGGCCCAAAACCCACUUGCCAUUCGUCAGACGUCCUGCGAUUAUGGUCUUUUCUUAAAAAAAAAAAUUUCAACUACGUAAUAAAUCCUGAAAUUAUCGGCUGGUAUACAUAUAGGUCCUUAAGCUUUUAAGUUUUAUCGAUGAAUCCUUAAACUUUAAUUCGUUAUAGAGUGGGUCCGUUUUUACCAAAUGGGUUGUCAUCUAAUGCUGCUGUUGACGACGACAUUAUUUUCCGGCCAAUUUGCCACGUCACCACUCAUGAAACGGUCAGUUAGUUGGUUGAAUCGGUGGCGGAUCCAGGAUCGAAACAUGCAAGGAGCCGGAUUUGAACCAAAAUCUAUGUAUCGAGUAAUCAAUUUACGAAUAUUUUUUUGAAACAUAAUACUAAGUUCAAAUAUACAAAAACACCUUCGUUGUGCUAUUUGUAGUUAAAGCAAGUUGUUUUUCAAGAUUGAAUGUGCCACCAGCCAUUUUUUUUCCUAAUUAAAUAAUAAUAAUGCAAAUACUGAGCCGAAAUGAUGAUUAAUAUCUAUCGAGUACUGAUAAUCCAACUGAUUGUGAAAUCUAUAUUAAAUUUAGUUUUUGAAAAUUAAUUCAACAUUUGCUUGAUUAAAUUCAAAAUGAGUACAGUGAUAACUCGUGAUAAAAAAAAAGCUAUAAUGAUCAUACUGAUGAAUAUUGUGACAAACAUAAACAGGAGAGCAUAGUGAGCAUGGCAGUGGCAGGAGCAAUUAUAGGUGCUGCAAUUGGUGGAUGGGCAAACGAUAAGUAUGGAAGGAAAAGUGCACUUAUGGCUGCUGAUUUCCUCUUCUUCAUUGGAGCUAUAAUCAUGGCCGCCUCCCCUGGCCCCGCUACCCUCAUUGUCGGUCGAGUCUUCGUAGGUCUUGGAGUCGGGAUGGCUUCAAUGACAUCCCCUCUCUACAUCUCGGAGGCAUCUCCGGCCAAAAUUCGAGGCGCUCUCGUCAGUACAAACAACUUCCUCAUCACCGGCGGCCAAUUCCUGUCUUACCUAAUCAACUUGGCCUUCACCAAGGUUCCAGGAACAUGGAGGUGGAUGCUUGGUGUUGCAGGAAUUCCAGCUCUAGUACAGUUUGCCCUCAUGAUGUUCCUUCCAGAAUCCCCCCGUUGGCUUUUCCGCAAGGUUUGCUUUUUCCCGCUUAAUACUCUAGUAUGUAAUGACCUUUCGAUUUAUUACGAGAUAUAAACGACCUUUGGACGUUAUUUUUCAUGGCAUCACCUAUGUCAAAGUAUUCAAAUUACAUCACGCUGGUAUAUUAAUCCGUUAAGUUGAAUAGGUGGCUUGAUGGUGUGAGCUUACUCAGCUCUUUUGCUGAGAUAGGUCACGCCGUCAUGCCAUCUAUACAACUUAACAGUAAAAAUUGACGGUGUGACAUAAUUUGAAUACUUUAUGAUAGAUAAUGACAUAGAAAAUAAUAUCCAAAGGUCGUGUAUAUUCUCGUAAUAAGCUGAAAUGUCGUGACAUACUAGAGUAUUAAGCCUUUUAUCAAUUCUUUUUGUCUUUAUAUCAUUGUUUGUUGUUACUUGUGUAACUAAGAUUAGAAAAUGUCACAGGGCAAAGAAGAAGAAGCCAAGACCAUCCUGAGAAGAAUAUUCCCAGCGGAAGAUGUCGAAGCUGAAAUCCAAGACCUGAAGGACUCAGUAGACAAGGAAAUCCGCGAACAGGGAAGUUCAGAGAAGAUAAAUUUCAGAAAACUGUGGCAAACAAAGACAGUCAGAAGAGGACUUAUAGCCGGUGUCGGGUUACAGGUUUUCCAGCAGUUCGUUGGGAUCAACACGGUCAUGUACUACAGUCCAACGAUAGUUCAGUUAGCGGGUUUCGCAUCAAACCAGACCGCAUUGCUUCUUUCCCUCGUCACAGCCGGACUCAAUGCCCUUGGAUCCAUUGUCAGCAUUUACUUCAUUGACAGGACUGGAAGGAAGAAGCUCCUGUUGAUUAGCUUGUUUGGUGUGGCGGUUUCGCUCGGUUUGUUGGCUGGAAUUUUCCAUCAGACCACUACUCACUCUCCCAUGGUCACUGUUGCGACCGGCCCCAAAUAUUCGAACAUGACCUGCCCGGACUACACUUCGGCGGCGAACUCAGGUUCCUGGGACUGUAUGAAGUGCCUCAAGGCUUCUCAUCCAGAUUGCGGCUUCUGCUCUUCAGCUUCCGACAAGGUGAAUAAUUUACAUAACAAGACAUUAUCACUAUUUUUGGAAGGCUAUGAUACCAUGUCAUGAACCAUUGCAUUCCAAUAACUCGAAUUUUUGGAAAAGGGUUCAAAUUGAUUUUUUUUUAUAUUAUUCGUAAACAGUUUGUUGUGCUGGAAUUUCAAUUUGAUAAAAUGUUGCUACAUGCUCUACUCUCUUGUGUUUUGUGUUGUGUUGCAGUUACUCCCCGGAGUAUGUUUGAUGUCGAACGACGAUGUGAAAGAUCUUUGCCACGGAGACAAAAGGGAAUGGUACACGAGAGGAUGCCCGAGCAAAUUCGGUUGGCUAGCACUGAUAGGCCUAGCUUUGUACAUUAUCUCGUUCUCCCCCGGAAUGGGUACAGCUCCAUGGAUUGUUAACUCAGAGAUAUACCCUUUAAGAUUUCGAGGAGUCUGCGGAGGAAUAGCAGCCACUGCUAACUGGAUAUCAAACCUCAUCGUGGCACAAACUUUCCUCUCGCUCACCGAAGCUAUCGGAACCGAUAUGACUUUCUUAUUGUUCGGAAUCGUGUCGGUGAUUGGUUUCUUCUUUGUCAUAAUAUAUGUACCUGAAACCAAGGGACUCCCCAUUGAAGAAGUAGAGAAGAUGUUGGAGAUGAGGCCUCUUCAGUACAAGUUCUGGGAGAAGAAGAGACCUGCAGCAGAAGAAACAGAUGACAAAUUAGAGAAGAAGCAAGGUGUGUGAAACUCACAAGCUAGUUGGAAUAGCAAGUAGCCAUUAUCUCCUACCUGCUUUCAAUGCUUACUACUACUACUACUACCUUUGAAGUCCAAUAUUAUGAACAAAUCAUUCAACACUGAAAACACUACAAAUUUCUAUAUGGUCUAUAUAUUGCCUUGUAUAUAAUCGAGACAAUCAUCGUGUUGUAUAGCACGCCACGACCAUAGCAUGCUUGACAAUACUCGUAGCAGUCGAUCCAGCAAUGACCAUUGCCAUAAGUAAUGAAUGGAGAAAUUAGAUGGAAUGGGGCAGAAAACAUGGAUAAUUCUUGAAGAGCUUGGAGAAAAACGUCCACUAAAAUGAUAUACCUCCGACGGUCCGCCAGAAUCCAAUGUCGUACUACUGUCUUGAAUAAUAUAAAUAGAGCGUUGAAACAGCGUGAAAUUUCAUUUCCCAAGUCACCAAAUGGAACUCAUCUACCUUCUCCUCUCAAUUAUCUCCACGUGCCUCACUUCCCUCUUCCACUCUAUCCGCCGCCUCUUUGUCUCUCCCGCUGCCAGCCACUCCCACGGCGUUUCUUUCUACCAGGGCACUGUAUGGCACCAGCGCCGCCGCCCCGUUCACCACUCAUUCCGCUAUCCUGUCCGUUACGCGCUCUUCGACCUUGACCACGCACUUCACCUCCCGCCGGACCACCUCUCCGCCGAUGAAGCUCGUCAGGCAGCUAAUACUGCCGGACCAGUGUAUAUAUUCCUUUCUUCUUCGUUUUUGUUUUUGGCUUUUGUUCUAAAACUCAAAUGAGAUUGUUUCCUCCACAUUUUAAAAAAAUUUGUGCAGUUUUCUGCUAACAAUGCCUCCCAGCCUUGGGUAUGAACAGAAUCCAUUAAGCUUAUAUUACUGCUACGAUGGAGAUGCUUCUGAUCCUACUUUGACCAAAUGUGUUGCAGAGGUUUGCUAAUUGCUAUCCUGCUUCCUGCAUCUCUAGUAUGCUGUUUUACUUGUUAGUUGGAAACCCAAAUUUCCAGCUCAACUGUUGGAAUAAUUGCCUAGUAUAUAAUUAUCACCCAGAUUGGUGGUGAUAUAGUGGCUUGUAUAUUGCCCAAUUGUGGAACCAGAGGUGACGAAACUAGGCCACUGUCCAGGGUCAUCCUGUUGUAAAGUAAAGUGACAAAAUCUUAUGUAAAAUUUAUAAAUUUGAAUUAUUUGACCAGUUUGUUUUUGAAUUUCGCCUUAAAACUUAAAAUUCCACCCUAUGAUCUUUGACCAUCAUGGUUCUGCUAUUGAUAUUGUCCAAGGCUAUCCCUCUAAUGUCAAACUACUGAUGUCGUUUCCCCUGCUUAUGAACCAAAGUGGACAUUUGAUACUUUGAACUCUUUUAGUAUUUGUGGCCUAGAAUUUGGCUAGUCUCACCUAAUAAAUUGAUUGGUUGUUGAUUCUCCUGUAGACCUGCAAUGCGUUACUGUUAACAAUCCGCCACUGCAUUUUGCACAGGUAACAAAUACACCUUGGGGUGAAAGAGUUGCAUUUGUCUUCAAUCCUAACUCUGAUUGUGUGGCUAAACCUUUGCAUGUCAGUCCUUUUAUGGUACGUUUCAGGAGUUACUCCACUUUUGUUGACUUGUCCCUUCGAAAGAGAAAUUUUUAAUAUUUGAAGCCUCUGUUGGAAAAAAUAUUCUCAGGAUAUGAUGGGGAAUUGGAAAAUCAAAGCAAGUGCUCCAGGGGAGAAUUUGACGGUCUUCAUUUCAGUUCAACACCCCGAUCAUGGAGAUUACUUCAUCGCCACGUUGGACGCCAAGAAAACUACAGUUUCAGAUAGUGAUUCUUUCUUUUGGUUGAUGCCUCACAAAGUUGCAGUCUGGAUAUAUUGGCACGUAAGUAUCUGUUCACUGGUUAACUUAUGUUUCUGGUCAAAUCGAAUCGUUGAAUGAUCAUCAACCUUGCAAUGUUCUAGAUAGUCUAAAUUCCAGCAAUGUCCAUACAAUUUGUUCUGAAUGAAUGGUUCAUAGAGAAACCUGUUUUUCAUUUUCCCUGUGCAGGCUUUGCUGCUGUGGUGGAAGAAUGUGAAGUUCAUACAGCAUCCGAGGUAUAAUGUUCCCAACUACAGGGAGGAAGCUGUGAUGCGGAAUGAAAAACAUCUUCAAUGCGGUGAAUCAGUUUCAUCUGGAUGUUUGCAAACUCAAGCACCGGCUUGCACUGCUGCUCGUUAUUUGAAAUGGAGGGAUGCUAAGUGGCCAUGGUGUUAGAAACAACAUGAUUUUUCUAUGUGGCAUUCAUUUCCUGCAAUCUUCUGUAUGUUGUUGUAAUGUUCAAGUAUAACCUAUCUUUGCGCUCUACCGGUUAAUUGACGGUGAAUGAUCCCCUACAUUUGGGCCAAAUCACAAACAUGCCCCUACCUUUCAUUUGUAACCCCAGCGUCAUUUCUAUACAUUUCCAUAACAAAAAUUCCGUUAAUUUGCUUCGUUGUUAGCUGAGUCUACUACCUGCACGGCUGCAUCAUUCGAACUGCCAAGUCUGUCUGGAGCUCUGGCAGAACUAGCAUGGCCUGCCAUUCUUGAUAAACGACAGAUGUUUAGGUACUUGAUAAUAAUUGUCUCUUGGAAGAUAUGUUCUGUGAUGCUCUUAUAGAUUCCUUUAACUAUCAGCUGUGUUUGUGGAUGCAGAGAAAUCUUUCUAGAUUUCAACCCAGUGGUUGUGUCGAAGCUGAACGAGAAGGAGUUUGUCAUGGUCGGUUUGGACCUCACCGGACGGCAGCCGGCCACGGUGAAUUCUUUUUUAGAAAUAAAAUAUGGGCAGUGCCCGUCUUCUAGAAACUAAAGCAUUGUUUUUAUUCCAUCUUGGGCGCAUGAGUGAUUCCAAUGUGAAAAAACGUCAAAAGUACAGCAAGGACCAUACAUAUAACUCAAGAAGUCCGUUCAUUUUCUUUUGAAUCCAGCCACAACGAUGAUGAUGCCCGAUCUCAAAGCCUUACCGAUGAUGUUGCCUCUUCCACAAACAGCUCUCCUUCUCGUAUUGCCUCUGACUUUGAUUUCAAUAUUGCUAUACAGUCUGAAGGUAAAGCCAAUCCUGCUUCAACGCUGUCUGAAUUCCCUCGGAAUCAGAGGCCCAUCCUACAGAUUCUUCUACGGAAACACUCUGGAAAUUCAGAAGCUAAGAAAAGCCGCCAUGGAAAAACCUGUGUCAGGUCUUUUUCAUCAAAUUCAUUACAGGUUGCAGCCUCAGUUGUCCGCCUGUUCUAACACAUACGGUGAGAUAUCUAUUUUCCUUUUGUUUCUUUUCCUCUUCGCCAAAUCUAAGUUUGUCCUGUGCUGAGUAAUGGUUCAUGGAAUAGGCCCGGAUUUCAUGUUCUGGAUCGGCAGCCGCCCUUUCUUGACUGUGUCGGAACCGGAGAUGGUGAAGCAAGUCGCGAAUGAUCGAGACAAAGCUUACAGGAAAGUACUACCAAGAGGUAUCGCGAAGCAGAUGCUCGGAGAUGGACUGGUCACGUCGGAGGGUGAAAAAUGGGCCAAGAUGAGGAAGCUCGCUAAUUUCGCCUUCUUCGGCGAGAGCUAAAGGUUGGUUUUAUCUCUACAAUCGAAACAGGAUUUUUUGCACCGACAGAUAUCCUAUGUAAAUUUUUCAAAAGUUAAGUUUUCGCCUACUGGUGUGUUUUUGAAUUUCGCCAGUAUGGCUAAACUUGAAGAGACCCCAAUUGGAUCCAAAACAAACCCAGCAAAGUGAAUGUGGAAGGCCUUUCCAUGGAUGGUCGAAUUCUACCACAAGGGCAAGUGAGGCCACACAGGCCGAAUUUAAGGUAUAUGCAAAUUGCAUAACCAGAAGUAGGAGGUUGGAGGAUCAACGAUCCAGAACAGUCAAUUAUGGCGUCAUAAUCCGAUCAGGGGAAAUGCGAAGGAAUCGAAAUUGAGAAACUCAGCACCAAUGAUAGGAAAAGGGGAAAAGGAAUGGGGUUUUACCUGGAGGAUCGAUGGAGAUCGGUAGUGAAUUCGAUGGUUGAAGAUUGCUGUUGACGAAGGUUGACGGUUGUCCGAUGGUCGGAGGCCGCUGUUGACGGCGGUUGGCGACGGUUGACGCGAGAACGCCCGUGAUAGUUUCUAUGGCUUUCUUCCCGAAGAAGACAGAAAUGAGAAAAUUUGACGACUGGUGGCUGAAUCCUGAUUCCGCUAUUGCAGCUACUGGUUACUUGUUUAUUGAUGGGAUUGUGGUGUAUUUGGUAGAAUAUGAUUCCGGCAAUGAUUGUUAGGACAGACAUGAUGCUAGAGAGGUGGAAGAGUCAUGUAGGGAAAGAGGUUGAGGUGUUUGAAGAAUUCAGGUUCUUAACAGCUGAAGUAAUUUCCAGGACUACGUUUGGGAGUAGCUACCUUGAAGGAAAGCAGCUCUUUUACAAGUUGAGUAAGCUUACCCAGCUCGGUGUUGCCAGCUUGUUCAAAAUUAGGGUUCCUGGAAUCAGGUAUUAACUUACCACCUUCACUGACUGCAACACUCUGAAAUUUUACUACUCAUGAAUGGUAAUUAGUUUACCUUUUGGCCCUAUUGAUUGCAGCAAGAUUUACAGAAGCAGUUCUGAUAUUGAAGCAAACAAGCUUGAGCAAGGAAUAAGAGCGUCUAUAUUGGGAAUGCUUCGGAAAAGAGAAGAGAUGAUCGGGAGAUGCAGAUGACUUUGGGAAUGAUUUCCUUGGAUUACUUCUGAGAGCUAAACAUGAAACUGACGAAUCAAAGCGCAUUACGGUCGAUUAUGUGGUGGAUGAGUGCAAGACGUUCUAUCUUGCUGGACAAGAAACAACCAACACUCUGUUGGCAUGGGUUAUCUUACUUCUUUCUAUCCACACAGAUUGGCAGGAGAAAGCAAGAGCCGAAGUUCUGAACCAAUUCGGGAGCCGAGCUCCUGAUGCAGAUGGGAUUGCAAGGCUCAAGAUUGUAAGCGAAAACCUUAUUUUUAUAACAUGAUUGAUUGUGCAAGCAGCGCCAAAAUGUUGAAUUUAACCCACUGAAACAAACUGUCGAAAUGGUGUUGCAGUUGAACCUGAUUAUCAACGAGACUCUGCGAUUGUACCCUCCAGCGAGCGGGGUUUCUCGAGAAGUUGUGAAAGAUGUUCAACUGGGGAAGCUGACUCUCCCUGAGAAAACAUACAUCAUCAUCGAUACAAUAUCACUUCAUCAAGACCCUAAAAUUUCGGGAAAGGAUGCACAUCUUUUUAAUCCGGAAAGGUUUUCUGAAGGAGUUGCCAAAGCCACAAAGAAUAAUCCAUCUGCGUAUCUUCCGUUUGGGAUAGGGGUGAGAGUUUGUGUGGGGUCGAGCUUUUCGGCAAAUGAAGCGAAGAUUGCACUUUCAAUGAUCCUUCAGCGUUAUACGUUUGCUCUUUCCCCAACUUACAUCCACUCUCCCACUCAAAUGAUAACAACCCGCCCGCAACAUGCCCGCAACAUGGAGUUCAGGUCAUCCUUCAUUGCCCUGCAGUAGUAGUGAUGAGGGAAUACAUAUAAUGAACUAUAACUUUCUUAAGUUUGGUGUAAGAAGGUGUGUGAUAGUAAUUAAAACAAUAUUGACAUCAAAGCUGCCCAUACCAACUGUAAGUUGAAUCAUCAGAGAUUGGGGGGAGGAGGUCGACACAAGCAGAAGAAGGAAGAAGCAGAGAUCAAUGUGAGAGUGGGGUAGAGUAUAACUAAAUCGGGUUGGUUUUGAUUUUUUUUUUAGUUGGGUUUAAGAAGUUGAGUGUGGUUAUUGCGACGCGUACGAAUAAGUAGUGAUUCAGCUAGCUAACGAAGCAAAUUAAUGGAAUUUGUGAACGGAAUUCCAUUAAUCGAUAGAUGUGUUACAUUAACGUAUGAAAAGAACCGUGAGAUUAUAAAUGAAAGCAGGAGCCUUGUUUGUAAUUUAAUUCAAAUUAGGGGACCAUUUUAAUCAGUUAGCCGUGCUAACUCGUUGCUUAUGCACUUCUUUUUCAAUUAUUUGCUUCCAAUUCAGCGGCGGAUCCAGGUUGGUUUAAUGCACUAUGUCGAAUUGUGUAAGCGAUCAAAUACACUAUGUUGUAUAUAGAGAAAAUGCACAUUGAUAAGGGCUCGGUAACACAUACGCAUGCUUUACCCCAUCCCGCAGAACAAGACUCGGGACAUGCUUCCCGAAUCCUGAACUCAUACGAGACUAUGGGUGUCCAUUACCCGCAUGAAUACGGGUUCGAGGUUAAUGUGAUAGUGGUCGUGGGUCCAAUUUGGUUCUAUUACGAUUUCCUUAGCAAUUAGGUCUGCAUUAGUGGUCGUGGGUACAAUUUGGGGAAAUGUUUAGUUUGGUUAGGUGGUUAGCGUUAGAUUAGCCUAAUCUAAAGGUCUAUAGUUAGUUUCAGACAUGAAUUUUUUUUCCAUGUUUCUCAGAACUGUGUUCUUCGAUACCGCCUGCAGGGUAAUUUUUAUAGGACUGGACUACAGCUAUAGUUAGUGGUAUUGCGCCUUGCCUUUGGUGAAGAGCAGAGGAAAAUCGACCCAAUCCUCUCCAAUGGUGUUGCUAGCCUUGGGUUCCACACACGGAAUUCUUCCACAGCCACCGUCUCGACUCCAAGCCACUUAUUCCACUUCGCCUUCUCUUCCGAAUACAGACAGCCCAUCUCUUCUUGCACGGCGAAGAGCCAUCUUCUUCGGUUCCAGUGUUGUAGUCGCAGAUUCUUUGCUUGGCUUCUUCAAUUCCGUUUCAAUCUCCCAUGGAUCUGCCGUUGCUCGUCAACUCCAACAACAACUAGAUGAAGAAGAAGAAGAAGAAGAUUAUGAAGACGAAGAAGUUGAGCAGGAAGAGAAUCGAACUGUUCGCCUGUUUGAGGUUAGCAACACCACUAAUAAUAUAUAUCCUUAGCAAAACGGAAUUCAGAGUUUAAUUUGUUUGUAUGGUGAUGUUAGGUGAUUUCUCCAUCAAUUGUUUCGAUCAAGGAUAUAGAAUUAUCGAAAAUCUCCAGCAGUAGUUCUUCUUCCAUGGAAACGACGAGUGGAGAGGAAGAGAAUGCAAAAGUUGAAGGGACAGGCUCUGGAUUCAUUUGGGAUAAAUACGGUCACAUUGUAAACAAAUAUUCAUAUUCAAAUUACUAUUCUUUUUGUGGUUUGUUUGGCUAUUCAUUAUUCAGUUUUGAUUCGAGACUGUGGCAGGUCACUAAUUAUCACGUCGUGGCUAAAUUGGCUACGGAUAUGAGCGGAUUACAGCGUUGCAAGGUCCCCAUUUCUACAGUUAGUUGUUGAUCAACCAGAUGAAGAACCAACUUAACGCCACUGAGCUGUUUUGUUUUGUUUUGAAGAUAUGCCUUGUUGAUGCUCUUGGAAACAGCUUGUAUAGGGAUGGGACGAUUGUCGGGUACGAUCCAAGUUAUGAUCUUGCAGUACUUAAGGUAAGAAAAACUCAAUGACUGUUGCAGAUGUUUUGAGUGAGUUUGGAAUAGCUAAUGAUCAUAAAUGGUGUAUUUAGGUUGAUGUUGAAGGGCAUGAUGUGAAGCCUGCGGUUGUUGGCAACUCCAAUGACUUGCGAGUAGGACAGAGCUGUUAUGCCAUUGGAAACCCAUAUGGUUAUCAGAACACUCUAACCACAGGGGUAACACUUUGAAUCAAUCCCUCUUCAUUUUUGGUGUUUAAUAGGAUUUGUCUGAUGAACGAAUAUAUAGGUAGUUAGUGGCUUAGGAAGGGAAAUUCCAUCGCCCAAUGGAGGCGCCAUUAAAGGAGCCAUUCAGACGGAUGCAGCUAUUAACGCAGGUCUGUUUUUUUAACAGCUUUAACAUUCUUUCUAUUUGGAAGACAUUCUAAUUCUUCUCUGCAACUGCAGGCAAUUCAGGUGGAGCGUUGGUUGAUUCACAUGGACGUGUCAUUGGAGUCAACACAGCAACUUUCACUAGAAAAGGCAAGUCAUUCGUCUUGUUGGAAAACUUGGUGCAUCUUCAUCAAAUCUCUUUUCUUACUUGUUCUCAUUACAGGAACUGGACAGUCAUCUGGAGUCAAUUUUGCAAUCCCGAUCGACACGGUGGUGCGGAAUGUGCCAAACCUAAUUGUUUAUGGAACCCCUUUCGUAGAUAGGUUUUGAACCCUUUGAAGAUCUUCUGUAAUGUAAACGAUCCAGUAAUUUGACCAAAGUCAAUGACGAUUUUGACGUUUCAGAUGUAGAGAAGAUGUGAAUAGCAGCUAUUAGCAUUCGUCGGAAAUGUACUGAAACUAUUUAAGCAAAAGGAAUGUAAUACUAGAGAGGCGGCUAGGAACCCAGAACAAAAUGGUCACUUUCCUCUUCUCUUGUANNNNNNNNNNNNNNNNNNNNNNNNNNNNNNNNNNNNNNNNNNNNNNNNNNNNNNNNNNNNNNNNNNNNNNNNNNNNNNNNNNNNNNNNNNNNNNNNNNNNNNNNNNNNNNNNNNNNNNNNNNNNNNNNNNNNNNNNNNNNNNNNNNNNNNNNNNNNNNNNNNNNNNNNNNNNNNNNNNNNNNNNNNNNNNNNNNNNNNNNNNNNNNNNNNNNNNNNNNNNNNNNNNNNNNNNNNNNNNNNNNNNNNNNNNNNNNNNNNNNNNNNNNNNNNNNNNNNNNNNNNNNNNNNNNNNNNNNNNNNNNNNNNNNNNNNNNNNNNNNNNNNNNNNNNNNNNNNNNNNNNNNNNNNNNNNNNNNNNNNNNNNNNNNNNNNNNNNNNNNNNNNNNNNNNNNNNNNNNNNNNNNNNNNNNNNNNNNNNNNNNNNNNNNNNNNNNNNNNNNNNNNNNNNNNNNNNNNNNNNNNNNNNNNNNNNNNNNNNNNNNNNNNNNNNNNNNNNNNNNNNNNNNNNNNNNNNNNNNNNNNNNNNNNNNNNNNNNNNNNNNNNNNNNNNNNNNNNNNNNNNNNNNNNNNNNNNNNNNNNNNNNNNNNNNNNNNNNNNNNNNNNNNNNNNNNNNNNNNNNNNNNNNNNNNNNNNNNNNNNNNNNNNNNNNNNNNNNNNNNNNNNNNNNNNNNNNNNNNNNNNNNNNNNNNNNNNNNNNNNNNNNNNNNNNNNNNNNNNNNNNNNNNNNNNNNNNNNNNNNNNNNNNNNNNNNNNNNNNNNNNNNNNNNNNNNNNNNNNNNNNNNNNNNNNNNNNNNNNNNNNNNNNNNNNNNNNNNNNNNNNNNNNNNNNNNNNNNNNNNNNNNNNNNNNNNNNNNNNNNNNNNNNNNNNNNNNNNNNNNNNNNNNNNNNNNNNNNNNNNNNNNNNNNNNNNNNNNNNNNNNNNNNNNNNNNNNNNNNNNNNNNNNNNNNNNNNNNNNNNNNNNNNNNNNNNNNNNNNNNNNNNNNNNNNNNNNNNNNNNNNNNNNNNNNNNNNNNNNNNNNNNNNNNNNNNNNNNNNNNNNNNNNNNNNNNNNNNNNNNNNNNNNNNNNNNNNNNNNNNNNNNNNNNNNNNNNNNNNNNNNNNNNNNNNNNNNNNNNNNNNNNNNNNNNNNNNNNNNNNNNNNNNNNNNNNNNNNNNNNNNNNNNNNNNNNNNNNNNNNNNNNNNNNNNNNNNNNNNNNNNNNNNNNNNNNNNNNNNNNNNNNNNNNNNNNNNNNNNNNNNNNNNNNNNNNNNNNNNNNNNNNNNNNNNNNNNNNNNNNNNNNNNNNNNNNNNNNNNNNNNNNNNNNNNNNNNNNNNNNNNNNNNNNNNNNNNNNNNNNNNNNNNNNNNNNNNNNNNNNNNNNNNNNNNNNNNNNNNNNNNNNNNNNNNNNNNNNNNNNNNNNNNNNNNNNNNNNNNNNNNNNNNNNNNNNNNNNNNNNNNNNNNNNNNNNNNNNNNNNNNNNNNNNNNNNNNNNNNNNNNNNNNNNNNNNNNNNNNNNNNNNNNNNNNNNNNNNNNNNNNNNNNNNNNNNNNNNNNNNNNNNNNNNNNNNNNNNNNNNNNNNNNNNNNNNNNNNNNNNNNNNNNNNNNNNNNNNNNNNNNNNNNNNNNNNNNNNNNNNNNNNNNNNNNNNNNNNNNNNNNNNNNNNNNNNNNNNNNNNNNNNNNNNNNNNNNNNNNNNNNNNNNNNNNNNNNNNNNNNNNNNNNNNNNNNNNNNNNNNNNNNNNNNNNNNNNNNNNNNNNNNNNNNNNNNNNNNNNNNNNNNNNNNNNNNNNNNNNNNNNNNNNNNNNNNNNNNNNNNNNNNNNNNNNNNNNNNNNNNNNNNNNNNNNNNNNNNNNNNNNNNNNNNNNNNNNNNNNNNNNNNNNNNNNNNNNNNNNNNNNNNNNNNNNNNNNNNNNNNNNNNNNNNNNNNNNNNNNNNNNNNNNNNNNNNNNNNNNNNNNNNNNNNNNNNNNNNNNNNNNNNNNNNNNNNNNNNNNNNNNNNNNNNNNNNNNNNNNNNNNNNNNNNNNNNNNNNNNNNNNNNNNNNNNNNNNNNNNNNNNNNNNNNNNNNNNNNNNNNNNNNNNNNNNNNNNNNNNNNNNNNNNNNNNNNNNNNNNNNNNNNNNNNNNNNNNNNNNNNNNNNNNNNNNNNNNNNNNNNNNNNNNNNNNNNNNNNNNNNNNNNNNNNNNNNNNNNNNNNNNNNNNNNNNNNNNNNNNNNNNNNNNNNNNNNNNNNNNNNNNNNNNNNNNNNNNNNNNNNNNNNNNNNNNNNNNNNNNNNNNNNNNNNNNNNNNNNNNNNNNNNNNNNNNNNNNNNNNNNNNNNNNNNNNNNNNNNNNNNNNNNNNNNNNNNNNNNNNNNNNNNNNNNNNNNNNNNNNNNNNNNNNNNNNNNNNNNNNNNNNNNNNNNNNNNNNNNNNNNNNNNNNNNNNNNNNNNNNNNNNNNNNNNNNNNNNNNNNNNNNNNNNNNNNNNNNNNNNNNNNNNNNNNNNNNNNNNNNNNNNNNNNNNNNNNNNNNNNNNNNNNNNNNNNNNNNNNNNNNNNNNNNNNNNNNNNNNNNNNNNNNNNNNNNNNNNNNNNNNNNNNNNNNNNNNNNNNNNNNNNNNNNNNNNNNNNNNNNNNNNNNNNNNNNNNNNNNNNNNNNNNNNNNNNNNNNNNNNNNNNNNNNNNNNNNNNNNNNNNNNNNNNNNNNNNNNNNNNNNNNNNNNNNNNNNNNNNNNNNNNNNNNNNNNNNNNNNNNNNNNNNNNNNNNNNNNNNNNNNNNNNNNNNNNNNNNNNNNNNNNNNNNNNNNNNNNNNNNNNNNNNNNNNNNNNNNNNNNNNNNNNNNNNNNNNNNNNNNNNNNNNNNNNNNNNNNNNNNNNNNNNNNNNNNNNNNNNNNNNNNNNNNNNNNNNNNNNNNNNNNNNNNNNNNNNNNNNNNNNNNNNNNNNNNNNNNNNNNNNNNNNNNNNNNNNNNNNNNNNNNNNNNNNNNNNNNNNNNNNNNNNNNNNNNNNNNNNNNNNNNNNNNNNNNNNNNNNNNNNNNNNNNNNNNNNNNNNNNNNNNNNNNNNNNNNNNNNNNNNNNNNNNNNNNNNNNNNNNNNNNNNNNNNNNNNNNNNNNNNNNNNNNNNNNNNNNNNNNNNNNNNNNNNNNNNNNNNNNNNNNNNNNNNNNNNNNNNNNNNNNNNNNNNNNNNNNNNNNNNNNUCACUCAAUUAGUUUAUAAAGUGCGGUUAACUAAAACUCGAUUUUCAAUGUAUUAGGUUAACGUCAAUUGGUUACGAAAUUGGUUAAAAUGCACUAAGCUAGUUAAAUUUUGAGCUCAAUCCGUAUAUGGGCUGAACUCGGGUUAGCCAUAACAGAUUUUAAAUUGAACGAUUGUGGACAUUUAAAAUCUGUUACGGUUAACCCAAGUUCAGCCCUGAUACAGAUUGAACUAAAAUAUUAACUGGUUUGGUGUAUUUUAACCAAUUUCGUUUCGUAACCAACUGAGGUUAACCUAAUGCAUCAAAAAUUAAGUUUCAGUUAACCGCACUUUAUAAACUAAUUGAGUGAUUAAAUUACAAUUACAUAAAAGUUUGAAAGUUAAAGAAAAAAACUAAUUUGGUGAAAUAAAUCUAACUUUUGAAAUGUACGAUGUAUGCUGAGUACGAUAAAAUAUGCGUCGCACUGUAAAUCUCAAUAAUCAUCAUUUUUAUAAUUCAUAUUUCAAUUUAAUUAUCUACCUAAUUUUCAAUUUAACCCUCUUUUAAAACUUUCGAUUCCAAUUGCAUCCUAACCCGAAGAGAAGAAGAUUGUCGAACACGUUGAUGAUCCAUUGAGACAACUGUGUACGUCAUUAAACCUAAUACAACGCGUCCAAGAGGCGCCUGAAUAUCACGUUCUUCGCAAAUUUGGGUAACCGAAGCCGGCGGUGAUUGUACUCUGCAUCUGCGACGCGUGUGAGCAUGCUAGCUAAAGUGACUUGGGGUGACGUGGCCAUUUGAACAGAGAAUCAUUGAAAACUCUGCUUAGCCACAUAAUAUUCGAACCUCCCCUUUCCCAUUAAGACGAAGAAAAGGCUGGCAGAGCAGAGCAGCAGACGCAAAACUGGACUUUGAUUCUUCUGUGUCUCUUCCCUGCGAGAAAGAAUAACUUAUGUGCUCUCUCUGGUAAGUUAAUUUCCUGCAACUCCCACUUUUCCUUGUUAUUCCAUCUCUGUUAUUGCUGUGUUGAUGGCUUUUUACAAGUUUUCAGUUCUUGAAUUUUAUCACUUGUCCCAGCUUUUCUUUUUCCUCCUACUUUUAGUCGGUAUGCUGUUUGCAGUUUCUAUUUUUUCCAUGCCUGAUUUAUAAAAGAAUCCAUCGUUUCUUUUUCUUGGCUUGUUCAGAUUUUCCUACUGUUCUUGGGGGGGCCGAUUGAUCGAUUCUUCCAGUAGCUGGACUAGAACAAGGGUUUCCAUUGAUUGUUGGAAGAAAGGUUUAUGCUUUACUGCAUGUGAGUCUGGUUUGGAUCAGUUGGAGUGAUCUGUUUGUAGGAGUUGGUUCAAUCUUUUCCAGUGAGUGGGGAAAUUGGUAUAGUUGAUGAGUGGUAUAGGGUUUCAAUUUAGAAGAAUUGCAGCAUUUGUAGAUUAGAUUUUUCUCUGUGUGCACAGUAAGGAAGGAAGUUAAAAAUGCACAGAGUAAGGCUUUCCUCUCAACAGGCACCAGUGCAUAAGCUAGGGGAUGCACAGAUGACACUAUCCCCAAAGUUCAGAUUAGCAGCGAUUCAAUCAUCUCUGUUGAACCCUUCACCCGAAUUCGAAAUCUCUCUCCAAACCAAGCCUCUAAUACCAGGCCUCCCCGACGACAUCGCAUUGAAUUGUCUGCUCCGGCUCCCCGUCGAAAGCCACUCUCGAUGUAGUACAGUCUGCAAGCGUUGGCAUUUACUUCUCAGUAGUAAAGAAAGGUUCUUUACUCGCAGAAAAGAACUAAACUUCAAGGACCCUUGGCUAUUCGUCUUUGCAUUCCACAAAUGUACAGGCAAGAUCCAUUGGCAGGUUCUCGAUCUCACUCACUUAUCGUGGCACACCAUUCCAGCUAUGCCCUGUAAAGACAAAGUUUGCCCUCAUGGAUUUAGGUGCGUCUCCAUGCCCCAACAAGGCAUGCUCAUGGUAUGUGGAGGGAUGGUCUCCGAUGUCGAUUGUCCUCUCGAUUUGGUUUUGAAAUAUGAGAUUCAUAAGAAUCGAUGGACUGUGAUGAACCGGAUGAACGCGGCUAGGUCUUUUUUCGGCAGUGGAGUGAUCGAUGGUACGGUAUAUAUAGCCGGGGGUAACAGUAGCGAUCUAUACGAGCUGGACUCAGCCGAAGCUUUCGAUCCUUUGAAGGGGAAUUGGCAGAGAAUUGCUAGCAUGGGGACGAAUAUGGCGGUUUACGAUGCAGCGGUUGUGGAUGGGAAGCUCCUAGUGACUGAGGGUUGGUUGUGGCCGUUCUUUGUGUCGCCUAGAGGGCAAGUUUACGAUCCGAGAAGUGGGGAAUGGGAGAAUAUGGCUGUAGGGCUGAGGGAAGGAUGGACCGGUUCGAGCGUGGUGGUGUAUGGACGGUUGUUUGUGGUUUCGGAGCUCGAGAGAAUGAAGCUUAAAGUGUAUGAUACAGAGAAUGAUUCGUGGGAGACGAUUCAAGGACUGCCAUUGCCGGAGCAGAUAUGCAAGCCGUUUGCAGUGGAUGCUUGUGACAGCAAAGUUUACGUUGUGGGCCGGAAUCUUCAUGUCGCUGUGGGAUGCAUAAAUAGGUGGAGGGUGAAGGGGAAUAGCCAUAACCAAAGGAAAUGGUGUUUCAGUGUGGAGUGGGAUGUGGUGGAUUCGCCUAAAGGGUUUUCGGACUUGACACCAUCGAGCUCGCAGGUGUUGUAUGGAUAGCAUUUUACUGUAAAAGGAUGAUGCUUUGUAAUCUAUGUUUCAUAAUAUAGCGUGGUAGUGAAAGAAAAGAUUGUUAAGAUUGUGUGAAUGGGAAGUGAUUGGUGUGUGUAUUGUCAUUAAUUUGUAUCCAUGUUCUUGUUUCUGUCCGUUUGCUAAGUUACCGGCGGCGAACGAUUCAAAUCGACCAUUCUGGAUUCAGUUGUUUUUUCUCCAGUUUUCGGGACAGCAAACAACAUGAAAUGGUUACUGGAUCUUAGUUAUCUGCAUCCUGCAAUUUUGAUUUCAAGGAUAAAUGAAUCAUCAUCCUCUGCCUACUGCCUAGUAUGAUUUUAUUGCGUCCACAUAGCCAUUUUUAACCAGAGCUGGCAAAAGUCUAACUCGAUUGGAUGAGCCUGCCUGUCUGUCCAAACCAGCUUGACUCGUGAUUCGUUUUGACUAAAAUGUCAACAAAUCCUGAUGAAUUCUUGACCCCGCACACCCUUAAACCGACGACAUUGGGACCCCGUUCAACACCGAAUGACUUGAUUGAAUAUAAUUAAAAAACCAAGUCCAAACUGAACUCCGCCACCAUUGAUGUGAGUAUGCAACGUUGUACGGAAAAUAGUUCUUGUCGGGGAAAAGAUCCUUCGACGUAGGCUCUGAAAGGAUGGAAUAAAAAAGAAAAUGGCGCCCCGACAGACAGACGGUGGAUAAAUUAAAAACGAAGGGAUUAGCUGAGGAAGGAAACCCCAAAACACAAAACCUCUCACCUGAGCAACCGUGUAGUGUAACCACAGGAAAUCCCAUUCCCAAAAUCCAACGCCACUGCUCGAUCUACAUCUGAACUCAGAAAACACCCUCUUAAACCCAAACAAGCAAAGAAAAGAAUUCCAAACUUGUGUGCGUGCCGUGCCGCUCCUUGGUUCGUUUAUAUACACAUUCGCAUCCAUUUCUUCCAAAUUCCCUUCCUCCCUCUCAAAUCCUAAAUAUCAACUUGCAAUGCAUCAACAAUCCUCUUCUCACGAAAUCUUUGUCGUCCUCGUCCUCCUUUUAUCCCUCUCCCUCUCUUCAGGUAUGUUCCCUUACAACCAUGAUCCGUUCGUAAUUACUCCCGUAGCCACGGAUACCCCUUAUAUGGCUGCUAGACAUCAUUGAUAUGGCGUUUAGGUGACAAUUGUAACAGGCACUUUCGUACCCAUGAGGAUAUGGAUACCCUUAUGUAACUGCCGACAUCAACAACGUAGCACCUACGUGCAUGGCAGCCACAUAGGAACCAUGACUAAUUUCGAUAUUUAUGUAUUAAAUGUUUUCUUUUUAUCAUCUAAUUUGUUCCUGCUUGUUUUUUCAGAUUACGGUGUCGUAAAGAGAGUAACAUCUCUCGGGAUCAACUACGGGCAAGUAGGCAACAAUCUGCCACAACCAGACAAGGUCAUGGACCUCUUGGCUUCCCUCCGAGUCACCAAGACACGAAUCUACGACACCAAUCCGCAAAUCCUGACCGCAUUCGCCAAUUCUCAAAUCGAACUAAUCGUUACGGUCGAGAACCAAAUGCUAUCCACCCUAACCGACCCACAACAAGCCUUCCAAUGGGUCACAACUCACAUCAAACCCUACUUCCCCGCUACCCGAAUCACAGGCAUUUCCGUUGGCAACGAAGUAUUCACCGCGGAGAACGACGAUACAACCUUACUAUCCAAUCUAGUCCCUGCCAUUGUCAACAUACACACAGCCUUAGUCCAGCUCGGCCUAGACCGUUACAUCCAGAUCUCAACGGCACAUUCCCUCGCCGUACUCGACCAAUCCUACCCUCCUUCUGCCGGCACAUUCAAACAAGAAGUCUCCUCCGCAAUGUCGCAAUUCCUCCAAUUCCUCUCCGUCACGAAAUCCCCCUUCUGGAUCAACGCUUACCCUUACUUUGCAUACAAGGACGAUCCAGCCACAAUUCCGUUGGAUUAUGUGCUUUUUAAUCCGAACCAAGGGAUGGUCGAUCCUUACACGGGGCUUCAUUACGACAACAUGUUGUAUGCAAUGGUUGACGCAGUCAUAUUCGCCAUGGCGAAAUUGGGCUUCGGCAGGAUAGAGGUACGGGUAUCAGAGACUGGUUGGCCGUCAAGGGGUGACGCUAAUGAGGUUGGUGCCACGGUGCAGAAUGCGGCGUCGUAUAACAAGAAUUUGUUACGGAGGCAGCUUGGUAACCAAGGGACUCCGUUGCGGCCCAGAAGAAGACUCGAGGUCUACCUGUUUGCUUUGUUUAAUGAGGAUAUGAAGCCUGGGCCCACAUCUGAGCGGAACUAUGGGCUUUAUCAGCCCGAUCUUACUAUGGUUUAUAAUGUUGGGCUUUCCGGCCCUACCGGCACUACUUCAACGGCCACAUCCACCGCCAGUGUCUCUUCCUCGCCGGCUUCGAAUUCUGUUUCAUCAGCAGCCACUAAGGUAAAUUAAUUCUGAUUAUUCUAACUAAUUAAGCCUUUGUUGAUUAAGUUUGGGUUAUUGUAAUCGAAAUACGGACGUUAAAUUGGCUAUUCUAUCAUCUAUGAUCAAAAUAUUCUCAAGUAUUCAUAAUUUUUUAUUAUAAAUAUUCUUAACAUUCGUAAAAGAAAUUAAUGGAAUACAUACAUUACACUUACAUACAGGAAGCUGAAAGGAGGUAUGAACGUAGCUUGGUGUACUGGAUGUUUGCUUAUUUGGUCUUGUCCCAAAUCCGGUAAUGACCGGAAUAGAAUAAACGUAUUAUUGGGACGUGACGAAUAAUAUGAUUGGAACCAAAUAAUUACGAGCGCGAAGAAAAUAAAUAUAUUAUCGAAGCCAAAUAGAAUAUGAUCGGAGCGUGACGAUGCCUAGCAAAGACGACCAUGUACAUUAAUCACGCACUUUCUUCAGGAAACUGGAGACAUCACCAUGGAAAGAAGACGAUGUACUUUCCUUGUUCAUGACACAAAGUUCAACAAUUCCCAGAUAACGCUUCUAUAUAUAUCUACAUGCAUGCAUGCUGAGGAUUUCAUCAAUACGACGGCGUAGUGCAGUAUCUUCAUUCGCAUUGCACGAUUUAUUUAAUAAUAUUAUAUCAUGUAUUUCUCCACCACAAGAUAACACGGCCAACGCCCCAUUACGCAUGGCGGAAGAAUGUUUCAUCAUUUACGUAGCCUGGUUGAAGAAUGUGUUUGAAACUUGUUUGUGAAAGUGCCAUGCAUAUCCAUCGGGGAAUUGAUCUGAUGUGCAAAGUUCCACGUACGUAGACCAAUUUUGGCUAGCUGACUAUGCGAAUCUAACUGCAUAUACAGUGCCAAUUUCAAACUGAUUGUUACACACGAAUAAUAUCUCUAUCCAGACUUAUUUUAAGACCUAAAUUUGAGGAAGGGUCUGCUCAUAUUGUUCUCUAAUGCUGGCAACACAGCACAAUUUAUAUAAAAUCAUUUCUGACUUCUAAAUCCAUGGCAAAAAACUAAAAUGCUUGUAAAUUGAUUAAGGCGGUUCAAUCACUUGCUCAACAGCUUCAAUGUACUGUUCCCACCACCUCCUGGCCUCCACUCUGUAAUCCAACAUCGUGCAGAUAAUUGCCUGCAUCCACAUAAUAACAAUAGUUCCAUAUACCAUCCAAUCCACUAAACCUAACUUCAGAAAAAACUGACUAGCUCUAACCUUAUAAAGAGGAAACCGACCAUCUGAUGGCAGGCGCUGAUUAUCAUUUAAACAGUUGCAUUCCAACGCUUCGACGUAUUUUCCCUGCAUAAUAAUUAAUAAACCCCCCGGCAAUGCAUCAUCAACAUUCGCAAGUUUUAAAGAUUAAUAAAAGAAAAUGGUGAAGCUUUGAGUCACCUGACACAUGAGAAUCUCCACUAAAACCAUCCCAACGUUGUAAGCAGGUUCGUUAUCAUUUCUCUUCUUAUACACGUAAUAGGCCUCCCGCAGAAAUGUCACCGCCGAUUCAGCUUGUCCCUGUGCCAUGAGCUUCACCGCAUGCAUCUAAUUUAACACAAGACACCCAUAUUUUUUCUCAGUCAAAUCCUCUGAUACUGUAAUUGAGUUUGCAGAAGAGGAUGAUGAUUACCUUGAUAGCGUUGACUUCAGCCAUGGAGGGACUAUAGGGCAACUCAAACUUCCUCUGAAAGGGUUCAGCUCUGGUGGAAGCCAUCGGUUUUGGCACGUCCAACAACGACUUUAUUGCUGCCUUGCCUCCCAGUGGAUACCCUGCAACUGCUGGAGAUUGUGGAGCCUUUUGAUACAGUUGCCUUGGUCCAGCUAUUGCUAUGUCGCCAUUCCUUCUCGUCAUAAGGAUGAUGCUAAGGCCGAUAGCACAGCCGAAAACCAAGGUAGUCUUGAAUUUCCCCUGCUUGUUUGCUUCUGCGCAUAUUAUGCAACCCGCCCUUUUCUUAAAUGCGUAAGCUGCCAGCUUGUGCGAUCUGGCGAUUGAUGGAAAUGAUGAAGAAUGAUGCCUAAUAAGGCUCCUCGUAUUGUUGAGGUUGAGAAUGCAUCGGAGGUUGUUCGUGGCUAGAGGUGCUUUGCUGCUUCUGAGACCAAGCAUCAUACGUUCCAUAUGAGACUGGAAGAUUAAUUUUGGAACACUAGAAGGUUACACUUGGAUAGUCUCUGAGGAGGAUGGAUGGAGUCGGUUCUUUUGUGCAAGGUACUGAAUAAGUUGCUUCUUUUGCCUGCAAAACCAAAGAAUCUUUUGUCGCUUGACAUAAUAAGUUGGAAUCUUGGAAAUGUGGCAAGGUAUAAGAUCUUUUGUUCAGACCUUAUUCCUACCACGACUGCUUAAGUUGAGAAAUUGAGAAUAUAAAAACCAUUUCCCACUCAAGGUAACUGGCUUAUCAUCACGAACUACCUUUUUUAUAUAAAAAAUACAAGAGUCAUUAGACCAGAGAGAAGUUUUUAUAUGAUUACAAUACAAGAGUCAAGAUGCAGAACAUACGUUGACUCUAAAUCCAUGCUACUGCACUAAAUCCAUACUGACUUGACCAAUAGAAAGGACCAUAAAGUUCCAUCAUGGAGAUGAAUGACCGAGCUGCUAAUCCAAGUUACACAACAAUAAGUGUGGGGAAUGAAUCUUCAUAGGCAAACUCAGCGAGCUUCUCUGCAAGCAUUCUUCCUGAUAAAUCCACAACACAGUCAUAAACUUGAGAAGCGAGCUUAACGAACCAGUUAACUUCAAAGAGUUGAUUUACAAGCUUCUCCAGUUAAGUUCCAGUAUGGUUUAAUUAAAACUUCCUGAUGGUUUGAUGUACAACCUAACAACAGCGCGCCUAAUUCCGAGCAUCUUAUGAGUUUGUUAUGCGUCCCUAAAAUCUGAACAGAUUAACCAACUAUUUCUGACAAGGUGAAUUCCCCAGAGCCAGUCAUCUUAGCAUAUAUCCAAUCCAAUUUCAAGAAUAUGAGCUCCAAGACGUUGUUAGGAACUAGCGGUUUGUCCUAUGAUACUUAUAGAGUUGACACACAGCGACUACUAAUCGCCUGCAUAAAUUUUGUUCUAAAAUGUUGUAAAUUCAACAAAACCAGAACGGUAAAAGCCCAUAAGCCGAGCAGUUCUUCAGGUUUACGUUUGUUAGUUCCUUAGGCUUAAGUUGGAGUACUUAAGGUGAAAAAUAAAUGAGUAUGCAGAAUAUGCAUUCAGCAAAAGGAAAACAAUAGUCUUCAGUUUUGCAAACAAAACCACAAUUGUAGGGUUUACAAGUGCACACAACUUAUGAUUGAGAGAAGGCAACUCCUACCCUGCACAGCCAUACAAUCUACAGUUCUUAGAUACGGUAGGCCACUUGUCAAUUUGCUGAAAGCAAUGAAAGUAAAACCAGGCAAAAAUAAGCUUUACUAAAUUCAUUAAUUCAAUUCAACGGGAUAUAACAUUAUAUGCUAACUCUAUCAUAUUGUUCAAAACAGUUGUGAUACAGAGUCACAUCACAAAGCCUAUCACUCGUUUCUGCAAUCAAAUCUACUAAUUCUACAAAACUGAUCCUAAUACUCCUAUGAAACUAUAAGAUAAAGUUACAGGAUAUACCCGGCAUAACUUACAGAGUAAUGGAAUAUGCCUGAAGCCGAUAUCUUAACUCAGACGAAAAUAGUUAAGCCACCGUGAUUCAAAGACUGCAGAAGAACAGAAAAGACCUGUCACAUUCACACCACCAGGGAAAGGUGUCUCAGCUUCCUGGUUGCAAACUCAAGCCCAGUCUAUCUUGCCGAUGGUCUAGCUCCAUAGAGUUUGAAAUUCUGAAUAGCGAGUAGGAGGAAAAACAAUCAUCUUUCAUGAACAUUUGUUCAAGUGACUGCUGGUUCUUCCAUAGCACACAAAAAUAAUCUGACCUUUUCUGCUCCCGUCCUGAAAAUAUCUCAUAUUUUUAUUGUCCCAAGUUCAUACACAAACUGCCGCCUACCUGAUUAGGUUUGUGUGAGGGGCUUCUAGCGAUGUGCUCCAUUUGCACCAUCAGCAUUUCCGAUAUGUGUAUAGGUUGAAUGCCCUUACAUGUGGAAAAGCGCGGGGCUCGAUUAUGAGUCACGUCAUAUAAAUAUAAGGAACUCAUACUUUCUCCCCCAAUUCUUGAUUAACAUUACUAGCUUUGUUUACCCAGUGCAACUGCUGUCUCCAUAUGCCUAGAGUCUUGUAAUCCCAGAUAAUCUCAGAUAUCUGAUCUUGAGGUAAACUCAAGCCUCGACGCUUUAUUGACAUGUGCAAGUUACAAAAGAAGUCUGGAUCUUCAAGUUUUAUAUACUCCUUCAAGAUCUGUUCAUGGUCAGGAAUCCAAUUUGUCGGAAACGGAGAAUAAUCACAAGAUGGAAUCAGGGACAUGUGUGAGAACUGAACACUUUGAAUUGCAUCAACAAGCCCCAUCCUCAAAAGAUCAGAGUAUUCAGGUGCAGAAUUAUUACUAUGCUCUGUCAGUGGCCGACUAAGAUUACGUGAAGCAAUCUUGUACACCUUAGCUCGUGAUUUAAGUCUAUACCUAGCAGCAUACAGUUUCGCUAACGAACUACGAAUUACAUAUGCACAAAAUCCAACAACCUUCUUCCUAUUAUCCGCGUACCUGUACCAGUCAGCCAUAGUCUCAAGAAACUUAUUCAUCUGGGCAUUCGUAUGAGCCUGACCUGAGUAAAGCAUUGGUGUACACGGCAAAGGCUCGGGAUCCUUAUCACCUUUAACGAACGAAAGGCGCCUAAACUGACGAAUGCAUUGCUGCAAGCUAGCUGUAACUGAGAGCAAAGUCCCCACACCCUUUUCACUCACAAUUUGUCCUCCACUAGCAGUGUAACGAAGUGUGGGGUAUAUCACCCGGCGACAGAUUAUAUGAUCAAGGAACUGAAUCCCUCUGCUUAUAUGUUGAAUCUCAACUUUGGAAUUAUCCAACCUGAUCCCAUACUUCCUAUCACAAAACUCGAUAAGUUCCUUUCUAAUCCGCACUGCUUCCUCUCUUGGCCCCCGAAUGCCGAUCAGGAAAUGACCACCAUAUCGAAUGUAAUCCAUUUUUCGCGUCUUCUCCCGGCCACUAGAAGGAACAAACUCCGGCCAAGAAGGAUUGUGACAACCGUCAUUGAUCGAAUCCUUCCAUAUGGAAUCAAGCUUAUUGGGGUUGAAGAAAGCUACCAUCAUUUCUUCCAUCUCUUUAUCCAAAUCAUUAAGGCACGCAUUUGCAAGUAAUGGACUCAAAAUCCCACAGGCACCGUACUUUGGUACCUUUGAUGCUUCCUCUGGAGCGAAAUCGUAGAAUGUUCUCAGCCAAUACGGGUCAGGUUUUGGCUCACCUUCCUUCAGCAAUCUCUUCUUAGUCGCCUUCCUUUUUUUUUUCUUCGCAUCAUCGUUGCCGCUAUUUCGAGAUUGAUGAUAGACAAUCGGUGUUCUAAGCCCGUUCUUUAGCAAAUUCAACACUUUCCUAUCCUUGACAACCUUAGCUACCGAUUCCAUCACAACACUAGGAUCCACUUGGGACAAAAUUUCACUAAUGUCACCUCUAAGAAACCAAAGAUAGCCAGCAAAAUUACUCCGGAUGGUUCUGAUUACCGUAUGAGCGUUCCUCCCAGGACGAAACGCGUGGGACUUGCUGGAGAAUCGUGCUUCAAAAAAAGGCUCCAUCACCAUAAGAAGUACCUCUUGCACAACCCUGUCCUGGAAGCAAGGGCCAGGGGAAUCAAGCAUAGCUUUGAGCUUCCUCUUAGAGAUGAGUUUGGAAUGCGGCUUCUCGUUAGGGCUCCGGAUGAGCUGGUUAGGCUUGUCGUUCCAUUUGAAGCGGCUGUGAACCACGGCAUCUCGCAAGGAAAGUAGAGAAUGGAGGGUGUAGGAGUGGAGGGCGUUGCGAGGAGGGAAAGCGCCGGUAACAUGGGCGCAGGUGCGUUGAUAAGCGAGAACCCAUAAAUCGAGCUUUGAGAGGAAGCCUGUGAGGUUAGGGAAAGUAGCGUCCGGGAGGGAAGAGAAGGAUUUCACCCAGAUUGAGCUGCAAAUUUGAACGGGAUCUUCCUUGAGGAGGGAGUAGGGAUCUUGUUGUUGAAGGGAGAGGGAGCAUAGGGAGCGGAAAGGAGGUAGGUAUCUGGAAGUUUGAGGAAAGUGUUUGAUGAUGGUCCUCGCCGACAUUAUUCUUCUCCUGCCCAAACUAACAGAGUCCACUAACAUGGACAGACUGAGUUGAGGAGGAAAAGAAAAGGAUAUUACUUCUGAUGUUGUUGAAGGGGAAGCGCCGACCAGAUGCUCGAUGAAAUGCGUUUUAAUUUUUUGAUGAUGGUCCCAGGCCUAGCACGGAAUGACGUAAACUCAGUCUCAGAUUGGACUCAACGGCGGCCCUAUCUGCUUUAUAGUUUUCGGGUCAUAGAAAGAUUAGCCUGCUGGAUAGAUACAAUACGCUGGAUGUAGCCGCAGUACUGCCCAACGGUGUUUUCAAGACCAGAAAUUUGAAAUCUAGAUUAAGAACAAUAAGACCAUAAUAUCCACACCAAAAAAUAAUAAGAUCAUAAUGUUAUUAUUGAAUAUGCACGGCCACCAUGGGCCGUUCCGUCGCUGGAAUCGAAGAUCCACUGAAUUUCCCCGAAGGCUGGAGCCUGGAGAUAGAAUUCUGACCACUUCCCCGAAUACCGUAAAUUUUUACGAUAACUAGAAACUUUUGUUCGUUGCACCUCCGAUUCAAAAACAUUUUCUACCAUCUGACCAUGUUAUCAUACACAUGUACAUGUUCUUUAUACUCGGCGUCUAUGUGCCUUCUGUACACGAGUAGAGGGUAUGUGAGUACAAGGUACAUGCAAGUACAUAGCGGUGCAUGAGCACGUUCCUGUGUACUCAUUUCGAUAAACAUACAACUUCAAAGGCGAAAUCUUCCAGUCCGCUACUUUGUACACCUCCAUGUACUCACUCUUCGCGGGCAAAUACAAAAUGUCUACCUAUGAUUGUGUAUAGGGGUAUGAACUCGAUACAAUGGUGUGUAUGAGUACUAUAAUACGUACAUAUAUAAUAGCCAUUUUUAUACAUUGCGCAUAUAGCGUAUAGUAAUACACUAUGCAACAUAAAUUUGUAAUAAAACCAAAAUCUCAUAUUUGCAUUAAUUUGAUAGUGUAUACAGACUCUGGUGCAUGCUUACACUAGUUUCAACCAACUCCGACGUUGUAGAAAAAAACUGAUCGAUCAUCGAUCCGAAUCAAAACGUAAGGGAUAUAUGUAUACAGUUCUAGUUCACAUCGUAAGAAAAAAGAGAAGUAGAUUUGCCAGUUGCAAAUCAAGGCCCAACGAGAUCGAUCGAUAUGCAGAGCAAAUUACCAAAAUCUGGGUAAAUCAAGGUUGCUGGCAGGAGGAGUAAACGACAGUGAGCUGUGUAUCUGGUUUGUCAUUAUGGCAGGCCGGUGAAGAUCCGGACGGAGGAACCAAUCCCUUCGGAAGCAUUACCGAGAAAGGCCUAGCAGUACUGGAUCCCUUCUUCGUCUUCUUCUUCUUCUUCUUGAUCGGGACAGGGGAGGAGGAACCAGACGACGCAGUCUUGAUUCUUUUCUUAUUCUUGCUGCUGUUGAUCCUGGCCCGUUGAGCAGCAGUACUAGGCUUGGUCGGACGGUGGGGGCGGCCUGCAGCUGGCGAUUGUCUGUCCAAGAAGAAGGGUGCGGUGUUCUUGAUGUGGAAAACCUGGUACUGCGCCUCCGCGGCCUCCUUGGUGGUCGGCGGCGGCGGCGUUCUGUGGUGAUGACGAUCGAUGAUGUGGCGAGGCGGGAGUGGAGUGGAUUGGUGGGCCGACUUGGGAGGAAGAGCGACGAUGGCGGAGACGAUGAGGAGGAUGAAGAAGAAGAUGAAGGCGGAGAAGAAGAGAUUGAUGAGGAUCUUGACGUUCAUUGUGGCCACCCGAUGAUGCAUGCUCGUCAUUGCGUUUGGGGGAAAGGACUUUUUUGUUUAGAGAAAUCAAGAAAUCGGCGCGGGAGAUGCGGGUUGAGAAUUUACGAGAUUGGUGAAACGGCUUGCAUUUGCUCAUCCCCAGUCAGUCAGUGUACUGCUUAAUUUUAACUAACUCGAUGUAUGUGUGUGCGCUGCUUUUGAGAAGGGGCGGAUGGUCAGUAAACGGUACGUCUACUCUUUUUUAGGGGACAGAUUGACAUCAGAAUGCGGAUUGAAAUCAACGCAGGGAGGUCCUUGAUGGCACGAAAUAGAUUUGGGCCGUUAGAUCUAAUUACUAAUUUGAUCUAAGGAUUCAGGUUGAAGGGGUAUAUAUGUAAUUUAACAUUUCCUCGCCGGACCUCAGGCGCCAGUCGUGUAUUCGUUUAUAACAAACUAUACACAAAUACAAAAAUAUGUACACCUGUUUAAACAAUUAGGGCAUCCUCAUCCAUGUGAAUGGAGGAGAUUGUAAAGUGAUGUGGGACUUAGGUGACAUUCAAUUACAAUUGAGUGGGUGAGUUGCAUGGAUGAGUAGAGUGAUUUUGGGUUGCAAAUUUUCAUAAUAUGCAAUUGCCAAAAGCAAUUGUAAAAUGGUCCCACUUUAUAUUUUAUUAGUUUAUGUUAUAUUUAAAUUGUCCAAACCAAGUAAUUAGUAUAUAUAUGAUUAAUGUAUAUAAUGUAAUUAGUGAGAAAGUCAAAUGUCAUAACUCUUUUAUUUAUUUCUACCAAAUUAAUAAUAAACUAAUAAAAAUUGAUUAAUUAUAAUACUAGAUUAGCACAUAAUGUAAUUGGUGCAGUUCGAGUAGAAUCGAUGAUCGAGCUUAUCAAUUUGUGUGUCAUCAACAUCAAGUUUCAAAUUAAAGAUCCACAAGUAUUAAAUACAUUAAAUAAGUCUACAUUACUAAAACGAAAGUAGCUAAGAUCACUGAUAAAUUGAAACACAUACAACAACUUUGAAAUAAUAUAAGGAUUUCUAAAGUAAUAAAAGGAUCCUAUGAUAAUGGAGAGAUUUUUUAAAUUGCAUGAAAUAAUGUGGUAUGAUAAUGGAGAGUAGUGAAUUGUAAAUUAAAAUAAUGUGGUAUGAUAAUGGAGAGUAGUGAAUUGUAAAUUAAAAUAAUGUGACAGUAUAUACCACUUUUGAAAAUUGAGAAGAAAAAGUGAAUAUAUGAAACUAAAAAAAAAAUAUAAAUGUUACAUUUUUAGUUACACAUAAUCCUAUUUAUAAGAGAGAAUCUUACCCUUGAAUAUAUAAUACUAUUAUAUUAUAUAUUAAAUAUCUAAUUAGGUAGGAUGACACAAUCUAAAAUUAUAUAAUUACAACAUAUUCAAAAGUAUAGAAAACGACAGUUUCUCGGAUAUAUUUGUAUGAACAAUAGAAGAUAUUAUAGUAUAUUAUAUUGGAAGUAUUAUGAUAAAUGAUGAUUAAUUUCAUGGUCAAAUCCUUUAUUUGGGGGGGGACUGAAAAGCGAGUCAAGUGACAUUUGGAUUGAAGGAGAAGGAAUGAUACAUGGCACUAUACUUUUCAUUCCUGCCAUACAAGGACACUCUCCCGCCAUUUUGUUGGCACUUCUUCUCAAUCGUUCUCUACCUAGCUAGUCCUUCGUUAUUAAACAAAAAAAAACUACCUAAUUUUCUAAUUAAUUUAUGAUGUGCAUGCAUGCAGUUGAGGUUAGGGAGGCCGUACAAACUUCCGAGCAACACAAACGUUUUCGAGAAGUAGUAUGCAAUAGCAGAUAUAACCACACCCCACAAGAAAUAGACAUCCCGACACUUGAAACCUUGGGGAAUUGGGAUGUCCAUGGCGCUUGGAAAGCUACAACCUUCACCAGUCACCCCAGGGUUUCUCUCUUCUCUCUCUCUCUCUCUCUCUCACCAGUCACCGCAGCUACGAGUGUAGGCUAAACACGUACAAUAGGACAGUUAGCGAGAGAUACCUUACGGGGACAGAUUUUGCAAUGGAACUCCCGACGAUGAAUCCACAUUACAGAGGGGUAAAGAAUCGGUACGCUUACACCCAAGUACUUGACUCAGUAGCUAGCGCUACGUCAGGAGGGAUGCGCAAAUUUGGAUCCUUGGCUAAACUCCACUUUGAAGAGAAACUAGUCGACAAUAAGGAUGAUGGGUUAGUUAGAAUUGAAGUCCACAAAUUUGAAGACAAAUACAUUUUGCUCUGGUGUAACUUUCUGUUCCUAAACAGGGCAAGAAAAGUAGCAGUACAGAGUAUUGUGGUGAUGAUGAAGAUGAUGGAUGGCUUGUCAUUUUCACUCAUAAUGAAGACACUGACAUAUCCAUGGUGUGUAUAAUCGAUGCCAAGAAGAUGGAGGAAGGUGCAGUGGCCAAAAUUAAAUUGCCAUGUAGGGUUCCUUAUGGGUUUCAUGGAGCUUUCUUCCCAGUCACAAUGGAAGAUAUGUCCAGCAUAUAUCCAGUUGAUGAUCAAGAUUAGGUCCAUUCAAUUUCAUGGUCGAUAUAUUCUAAUAUUGUACAACCCGAUUUCCUCCGUCUUGUGAUGUUUAUACUCUGUAGAAUCGCAUGGUAGGGUCACUUUUGACCACACAUACUUUUGCUAAUUAUAUUUAUAAUAGAGUGGGGUGUUAUUAGAUUUUUUAUUUUAAUUAAUCUCUUUUAUACCGUGCAAUCAAUAUUUUUUUACUCUCUGAUAUAGGAUAAUUUAAUAAUUUCUCUUUCAUACAUCUGUUGUUAAUAUCAUUAGUCAUUCGUAAUAUUUUUCUAUGUAUCAAAAUAAACAGGGAAAUUUAAUAACACAAAACACUACAAUUAGAAAACUAGUCAUUUGGGUAUCAAUAAACAAUCAACUCCUAGCUAGUUGACAAGAAAAUUAAACUCCAAAUUCAGACAAGGCUUUUGGGUAAUUUUGGAGUCGCAAUUUUCUAUAUAGUUUAAACACAAUUUUCCAGCCGGAGUUAGAGAAGGAACUUACCCGAGAAGGAGAUCGGCGAUGGAGGAGCCGAUGUGCUCGUUUUUCCGGCGGUCGAGGAGUUGUGGAGAUUAGCUAUCAUUACUCGAGAAGAAAAUUGGCGAUGGAGGAGCCGAAGCGCUUGUUUUUCCAGCGGUCGAGGAGUUGAGGAGAUUGACUAUCGUUACCCAAAAAAAUGAAGAUCGACGAUGGAAGAGCUGAGACGAUUUGCUCGUCAGUUAGUAAUCGGUGGAGCGUGUAGAUUGGAGAUCGUCGACAGUAUUUUUUAUCUAAAAAAGCUUUUGGUAGAGACUGAAGAAUGAAAAUUUGAAAAGAAAACGAUAGAGGUAGAGAAUAAAAUGAAAAUUGGGUUAAAUUAAAUUUAGGUACGAAAAUUUGAAAAGAAAAUAAUGGAGGUAUAGAAUAAAAUGGAAAUUGGGUUAAAUUAAACUUACGUUGAAAAUAUUACCAUAUCCAAUUUAAAUUCAUGAAUUUAAAUUUUUAUUCGUCCAUUAAAUCAGAUCGGAUUUUAAAUCAGAUAUUCACGUAUGGGUUAGAUGGAUAUCCGCGAAUUCCGAUAAAAAUGCCACCCCUAAACCGGGCUAGUGGCGGCAACUACAGAAGGCAAGGCUGUGCAGAGUAGUCAAAACAGAAGCUUCAAAUCUCCAUUUCAUGCCGUGUGAUAAUUAGUUUUGACUUAAAAAACAAGAAAUCCAAAACCCAGAAGUCUUCCUUCCUUGCUCUCUUCUUACAGUUGUCGCUAAGCAUUCGAUUUCCCCAAUCGAUUUGCCAUCCCCAUAGGAUCUCUUAUCGGAAUCCUGUUUGGUGAUACGUCAUCCUCGCCACCCCCUUUGCCGUAUCUAGCAUGUCGAAAUCUCUUCCCUAUUCGACUAAAGAUUUGAACUACGACAACGCCAAAUUCCGCCAACGAUCGGUCGUUAAGGUGAUCCUCGCCUGCCACUGGAUCUCGAUCUCUGCUGAAUUCUCUUGCUGAUAUAUUUUUUAUAGCAGUUUUCUGUUAUUCAUUUUCGAUGGAUUUCCGCUCAAGCUGACAAAUGGCAUUGCCUUGGUUUCGGUUUGAUAUUUUAAUUUAUGAUGGUGACGAUCUCGAUGAAUGUGAUCGAGUGGAAGUCAUUCGAUUUGGGAGAUCAUUCAAUCGCGAACUUGAUAUCACUAUCUUGGAUUGUUUAUAUGCGUGUGGUAUAUAAGAAGCUGAAGUUUGAAUCCUAACAACCAAGGAUAAAAUGUCGAGACGGCUAGAUCAAGGCAGCUGUAAACUCAAUGGAUCUUCUGCGUCCUACUUUGCCAUUUGAUCGAAUUUGAAUUUGGUCUGGUGGCAGGAUGGUUCAGCUACGAAUAUUUGAGUUGUACGUUUACUGCUUGAUGUUUGAUAACGACAGAUUUAUAAGAACCCCUCCACGUUUCUUUCUUCGUUCCUUGCUUUGUCUUGUGGCUUCAGAUGUCAUCACUAGGAGAGCUUUAUGGUGGAGUUUCAGUUCUUUUGCGUACUUCUCAUUUUCCUCAUGCUCAAUCAUAGAUUACCCCUUCUCAAGGCAGCAUUGUGCAGCUCUUUUCCCUUUUUGUUUUGGUUACUAUGUAAUGACUGCCUGUAUGGGUUUUUUCUUUAGGUGCUAACGCAGUCCUUGCUCACCAAGAACAAGAUGCGUGAUUGUGCAAGCUUCAGUACGGGGAAGUUUCUUGCAUUGUUGUUGAUCUUUGGCUUCGGAUAUCUUAUGUUAACACAUUCAAGUACUGCUCACUCUGUUUCAGUUAGACUAGCUGAUAAGUUGAGUGUUAAUGGAGAAGCUAAGAAUGUCACAGGAGAAAAUGCUCGGUUUGGGGGAAUUUGGAGGAAGCCACCAAGGCUCCCUCCUCGAUUACCACCUGAUGAGAAGGCCAGUCACAAUGACAGUUCUAGUCAUGAAGCAGCAAAGAUUAAUCUUGAUUCGGGAUGGGUGGACAGACAAAAAAAAGUAAAGGAGGCUUUUAUCUAUGCUUGGUCUGGCUACAGAAAGUAUGCGAUGGGUAUGACGAAUUGAUGCCUCUACCAUCCGUGUCUUGGGUGGUCUUUUAAGUGCAUAUCAUUUAAGUGGAGGGGAGAAGGGGGCAAACAGUAUGGGCAAGGGGCCUAACCCAGUUGUUUACUUGGAUACUGCUAAAGACUUAGCUGAUCGUCUGCUUUUGGCUUUUACUUCUAGUUCAACUCCUAUUCCCUUCAGUGAUGUUAUUCUUCAUGAUCCAUCAGCUCAUCGAGCACCUGAUGGGUUAAGUAGUACUUCAGAGGUUUCUACUUUACAGCUAGAGUUUAAUUAUCUCAGUACUCUUUCUGGUGAUCCAAAGUACAGCAUGGUAGCUAUGAAGGUGUUGGAACACAUGAAAGAUCUCCAGAAGGUGGACGGCCUUGUUCCGAUCUACUAUCUACAUAAGGUGUGGGUCUCCCUUCUUUCCUUUCUUCCUUCCUUCCUCCCUUCAUGGUCCUUAUAUGAGUUUCCUGAGUUUGGAAAAUGAUUUUUCAGAAAUUAGCUUCUUAAUAAUGCAUUGAACCAUUUCUAUCUAUCGAUGAAAGCUUUCCCUUUGUUCCUCUGAUUGAAAGUUGUGGUGAACCAAUAGGUAGGUCUCACAAAGAGAAAACAGUGUUCCAAUUGGAUAUGAAUGUUAUUCGAAGGUUAUUUCUACUAAGAGGGGAUACCAUUUUGAGUUGCCAUUUCAGUUUGACAUGGGGACUUAGAUUGAGCGUACUCUUUUGCAUGCCCUAUCAUCUAAAGAAGAGUAAAAAUAUUUUCCAACACCUUUAUAUUCUUCCAUAUAUACUAUAAAUUGUGAUAAUUUGAUUUAACAUUUCAACCUGUUGCAGUCCCGACUCUGGUCAGUUUAGUGGAGAAAAUAUCAGACUUGGAUCUCGUGGUGACAGCUAUUAUGAGUACCUUAUUAAGGUCUGGCUUCAGCAGGGGAGGAAUAGAGAUACUAAGUUUACAUAUCUUCAUGAUAUGUAUACUGAAGCAAUGAAAGGUGUAAGGCACCGACUUGUCAAGAAGUCGAUCCCAAAUGGUUUGGUGUUUGUAGGUGAACUGCCUUAUGUACCAAAUGGUGCUUUUAGUCCUAAGAUGGAUCACCUGGUAUGUGAAAUCAAAUUAUUUUAUUAUUAUGUAGUGCGAAUGUUCUUAUUCUUAUUGUGUUUUUUGCCAUUGCCUUUCUUUCUUAUUCCACUGGCUUGUUGCUCCAAGAAUGGUAAUCUUAUUUAAUAAUCUGUCAUCACAUUACAAACUGUUAUUAGUUCCCAUAGUGAGAUUUCUUAUGUGUUGUGGACGACUUCCCCUGAAUCUGAGUGAUGGAAAAGUAGUUGUCAUUUUCAAAGAAGGUAUCGUCACAGGUCUUAUAAGUCCGUUUAGUCACUGGAGAUUAACAUUUGUAUCCCUUCUGAUGGUAGAGUACCCAAUAAAGACACAUCUGUGUGCCCGGGGAUCCAAUUUUGAUAUUUGAUGGUCUGAAUGAGUGAAUGCCAUCCAGCUUAGGAACUCGUUUUCUGAUCUGCUUUGUUUUUUUAAGGUUGGUCCCAUCUGCUUUAGUGGUGCAUUGAGCUUGGCGAACUUGUCACACCAAUUCCUUAUCGUGUUCAGUUCAUUGUUAUCCUUUAGUAUUGUUGUAGCUUCACACUGUUCACUUGACAAUGAUAGAUGGACUUAUGUUUUCCUUUCAUCAGGUGUGUUUUUUACCUGGUACACUUGCCCUUGGGGCCACUAAGGGAUUUACCAAAGAGAAAGCAACGAAUGAAAAUUUGAUGACUUUUGAAGACUUUGAAAACUUAAAGCUUGCGGAAGACCUGGCAAAGACUUGCUUUGAGAUGUAUUCAGUUACUUCCACUGGUCUUGCCCCUGAAAUUGUUUAUUUCCAUACAGAGGUCAGUCGGACUUGUUGGAUAUAUUCAAUCUUCUACUGGUCACAAAAACAUAUUGAUCUUUCUGUUCUUUCAUUCUGUCGUUAUAUUCCAAUACUUUAUGAUAGUUUCAUAUUCAAAAUAUAUAUUGAUAUCUGAUUCUGAAUAAGCAGGAGUAUUCUGAAGAUGGCCUCGGUGGAGGGAACAAGAGUUCUGAGUAUAUUGACGACAUCAUCAUAAAGCCUCUAGAUCGUCAUAAUCUUUUGCGUCCAGAGACUGUUGAAUCAUUGUUUGUUUUGUACCGUAUAACAGAAGACCCAAAGUAUGUUUUUUAAUUUAGUAGCUGGGUGACCUUAUCUAUUCGAGUAAUCUGUUUCUCUCUUCAGUUUCUGACCAAUUUCUCAUCUAUUUUAGAUACCGAGAGUGGGGCUGGCAGAUUUUUGAAGCAUUUGAGAAGUAUACAAAGGUCGAUUCUGGUGGAUACAGUUCUUUGGAUGACGUAACUAACCUUCCUCCUCGAAGAAGAGACAAGAUGGAGACCUUCUUUCUGGGUGAAACUUUGAAGUACUUGUACUUGCUGUUUGGGGAUAGCUCUGUUAUCCCAUUAGACAAGUUUGUCUUUAACACAGAAGCUCAUCCUUUUCCUAUCAAAGGAAUGUGAAAGUGGCGGUUAUUUAUUUUUCAGUAUAUGAUCUCAGUGAGGCAAACACAUUGCAAGCUCAGCCCUUUUAAAUUCCCUGGUGCAUGAAUUACUUCCUUCGCAACUCACAAGGUUCAGAUGAAACUUAAUGAGUGAUUCGUUUCAGUGAUUUCAGUAACCUCCUUUAAUUGACACUCAAGUGUCUAUAGAUAGAACUUGUUUCUCCAAGUCUGUUCAUAUAUCCUCAUAUUGUGACAUCAAAGGCAACAUUGUUAUAGUUAUUGAAUCCCCUAACUUGUUUCUCUUUGGGUUUUUUUCCACCUUGAAGUAGUGAGUUAAAGUGCAACCAUCAGUGUUAAAGACUUUCAAAGUCUUGUCUCAGUGGCCAAACCCAGAUGUUCAUUUUGACAGAUUAAUGUACUCUACUGUCUUGAAAUUCAUCACAUAUCGAUCAAUUUACAAAUCUCUUUCUGGCAUCUACAUCACUAUCUUCUGAUUAUUCUAAGUGUGGCUUACGUAUUUUCCAUGUGAUUUUCAAGGAAAAUUAGAUGAUCUCCAUCUCGAAUGACAUGUAUGUCGUCUAUUUCUGCACUUUCAGCAUUGAUGACUUUUCCAAAUGUAUAGCCUCCAAAUUUCUCACCUGCAGUGUCACAAGUUGUCAACUGAGUUAUCAGAUUUAUUAUCGGUUUACUCUCUUGUAUAUUUCUUCAUUUUGGUUUGCUUUACUCAUCAGACUGGUCAGUUAAUUUGCAGAUUAUGCAGGUUUGAGCUCACAGACUCUUUUAGAGGUUAAAGAUAUCUUACCAGCAAUGUUGAGCAGCUCUUCCAAGGAAUUAGGUAGUACAAUUAAUUUCCCCGAUUGGCUGGAUGUUGUUUCAUCUUGGUGUUUCAUAUGAAUGGUGACUCUCUUCUUUGUAAAUUUUUUCUCAUCCACGUCAUAUAAAUAGCUUGAAAUGCUUGAUGUGGCAUUUGUAGUUGCCUUUGCUGAAUUGGGACAGCAAGAAUCGGCCCCGCUGUUCUCAACAUUUUUUCUGUGAACACCUUUAGUACCAGCUGCAGUUUCCUCCUCGAUGGAAUCUGUCUUAAGUGCAUUUAAUGACCUUUUAUUUUCGUAGCUUACGAAAAGAUCGUAUAUGCUUUUGUGUCCACGGUGUGCUGCGAGUUCUUUUGGAGUCCACCCUCUAUCAUCUGGAUUGUUUGCAUUUGCUCCAUCUUCAAGCAACAUCUUGACGAUUUCUGUGUGCCCCUUGGACACUGCAGCAUGCAGCGCUGUUUGUCGAUUGAGAACAUCUUCAUUAUGUCUGGUAAAUCUUUGCCCUCCUACUUUACUCUCAGAUAUACACUCUGUUGACUGCGAAUAUGCACCCCUUGUUUCCCUAACUGAUUUGUCUCCAUACGAAUAUCCUUUACGUCCUGCCAUGGAAUAACUACCUUCUUUAGGCCCUCCAUCAUUCCACUUAGCAGGGAUCAUUCCUCCAGCGUUGUUUUCGCAUUCAGAAGUUGUCCUUUCUGGCCCGCGCAAUUUCUAUUUACGAUGCAAGAAAACUAACACUUAGUUUUGGACAUAAUGAAGGUGUUACAUGAUUAGAUAUAAUACCUGUCAAGAUACUUUGUUUUGUCUCUCACCGUGAAAAGAUUCUGCAUUAUUUUAUGCUCUUCUUCUUCAUUUGUCUGAAUGGUUUUCAUCAGUGAAGUUCUGCUGAGCCGCAAUAUCUGGGAAAGCUCGGUCGUCCUAACAGUCACUGGUUGAGGCUUGUUACAUAAAACUCCCAUCUCCCCGAAUAAGUCUACUGCAGUUGCUUUUCCAAUAACCUAUUGUGUACAUGAGAGAAGCUAGAUCAAGGUUUUGUUUGUUAAGUAUUUCUAGAGGCAUAUAUGAUAUAAAAGAAGCUGUAUACUUACUUGUUCAUGCCCGUCAAUUGAGGAUAAGAAAAUCUGCAAGGUAGAAUUGCUCUUAGAAAUUACUCUUUAUGGAUUGGUAUUUGUUUGGACUAGUGUAGAUAAUCCAGGCUUUAAACUAGGCUUACCACCGUUCCAGACACCAGUAUAUAAAGGUCAGUUGGAGCUUCGUUCUGCAAUAUGAUAUCUUCUCGUGGUGGAAAAUAUUCAGCCUCCAUUUCUGAGACCUUCACAAGAUAGUUGUGAUUAAUUCUCUCCUCUUCAAUUUGGGUAAUAGAUGAUGAUAUUUGGUUGAAAAGUAGAGCAAACUAUAGCUCUUUGUUAAUGUGUCUGGGGUAGUCAGUAAGCAUGUUCUAUGUGGCGAAGAACAGAAAAAGAAAAAGGAGAAACAAUAUUAUUGAUACUAUAUUAUACCAGCUGGAAUAGGAAGUCGUGUGGAACCCCUUGGAAUAGGUAGACAUUUUGAACAAUGGGAUAGAAGAGAUAAUGUGAAAUGCUCGAGCGAAUGGCUUUUGGAAGGCCAUUCAGUGCCUCUUGUUGCUGCAGUCCUUCUGUUUUGAAUUUCAGACAUAAAUGUGAUAUCACUUGGUCCUGUAUACGGGGCGGCAACUGAUUCCGAGUGGCGAAUUCUGAAGCAGCUCUGACCAUGUCCCUCUGUGAUAUCGAGCAAAGUUCUGUGCUUAGUAUUCAUGUCAACAAAACAGCUCUUCCUUGAAGGAAAUCAUUAUCCUAUUCAAACUAGUCAAACAUAGAAUUGUAGCGCUGACGAGAAAGUACGUAUGAAAUUAUAUUAAUUAUUAUAACGUCAGGAGACUAAAUGGAGUCCUCUUAUUAUGUUUACGUUCAUCGUUUAAAUUCACCUAAGAUGUUUGCAUACUGAUUUGAAUGUUCUAUUCUCUGUUGGGUUGGAUGCAGAAAUCAUUUGCGGAGACAGGACAGAAUUCAAAGAAAGUGUACGUACAAAAUUCCUUGUCCGGCUGGUCCAAUGCACAACGAGAUUGGUCAUGUUUCCAAUCAGGUAAGACGUCAAUCCCAAGUUGAAUAGCAUGUAGAAUAUAUCAAAAAGCAUCUCUCUUGGAUUCUCAGCAUGUAAAUCUCCAUAACCAGUUGUAGUUAACGUAGUGAUAGACCAAUAAAUUGACGUAACAUAUCUGUUCCACAGAGAGUCUUCUUUGAAAUUUGGGUUUACUGCACCGAUCCAUGUUCUUCUAGGGUCAGGAUAUCUAUCUGCAAUUAGAUAGUUGAAACAUCCAGCACAAUGUACCGCAAAUAGGGUUACCUGGAAGCACCAAAAAGACGGUUGGAAAUUGAUAGGAGUGACAAACACAUGUUGUCUGAAUUUUAGAAUUCUAGGUCUUGUAAGACUUACAGAAGUAAGCUUUGUGCAACGAGUCCAGAAAUAAUUGAAGCGGAUGUCCUUCUCAAGCCUGAAGGAAAGCAAGCACGUCUAUUGCGUUACAUAUCUUAUUUCAAGUAUAAAUAAAACACAAGCCAAGGGGUUUUGUAAGACCUUGCAAACAGUGAGCUGACUCUUCUGAGACGCCAGAGACGGAGCAUGUUCAGCAAUUUGAAUCCAAGUUCACUGCUUUGAUCUCUGAACAGAAGGCUCACUGGUAGAAAUGGGGCAGUCGAACUGACAUCGAAGAUAAACCAGGUAGAUAUGUACCUGCGGAUUGGGUUAGAGGAAUCUGCUUCCAGUAAAACAAACUCGAGACGAUUUUCAUCAACCUAAAGAAACGUAUGCAAAAGCGUUUUGAAAGCCAUACUCACCUAAUUGCUAUUUUUUUAGGGUCAUCGAUGAGGAGGCAAGAUUGGCUAUCAAGAUAGGCAACAAAGAAGGUGAGAACAAUAUCAAUGGCGAAGAAACCAUUGACAAUGUUGUCAACAACAAAAAGACCGUCUUUCUUGUAAGUCAGAAAUGCAAACUGAAAUGGAGAGAUCCAUGCAGAGUAAAUGACCAGAACAACCAGCCACAUUUGCCAAGCCCUGUAAGGACAUUGUAGUUUACCCAUGAGACUAGGCACAAGAAACAAAAGGUAAAGCAGCUAAGCAAGUGACUUGUAGAAAGUGGAAUCACCUGUACCGAGGAUUGUAAGGGGAAAUAAUGCGUCUUCUGAGUUCAAUUUCCUGGUUGAUUCUGGCUCCAAGGGAUGGUACGAGAUCGUUAGAGAAGAAGCUUCCAUGGAGGACACUAUCCGUAUGAACCUCAUCCGUAAAGAAGCGUUGUACGAAGCUCUUGGCGCAAGAGAAGAACAUAUUGUUGGGUCUUGAAUUGCUAAGGGCAGUGUUAAACUCUCAAGUUUGGUGCGCAAAUGCCUGUGGUACGUACGUAUGUAUAUAGGAUAAUAUAUGUAGAAAGAGGUAGAAAGUAUGAAGCUUGAGACUCGUGAGUGAUGAAAAAGGUAGAAGAAGUCUACUUUUUCCUCCUACUCUUAAGUUGCUCUCAAUACCGUGACAUGUCUGAAAGGAUUCUGCAGGAAGCUUGUGGAAUGAAAUGAUCUUCGGUAAGGGGUGAAAAGGAAAGCUGGAACAGAGUAAAGAGGACCAGUUUUCAUCUUGUUUGAACAAGAAGGGUUAGCAGAAGACUGGGAAUAGAAGAAGAGGGAUAAUGGUCAGGAGACGCAAGGUUUUGUAUUCUUGUGAAAAUGCAAAGUGCUUGGGGGUAAGUUAAAAGUCUGGUUUGUGUUCAAGAAAGAAGUGGGGGAGGGGAAUCAAGGAGGGAAGAAGAUGGCAAUUGCCAAUGGAAAUGAUGCUUCUUUUCCUGGUGGUGGAAGGUCCAUCAUCUAAUCUAACACAUGUGGAGGUGUGAGAUACAAAAGGUUGGGUUCUGGAAGGACAGAUUUGAGUGAAAUUAAGUUGGUGUUUUCAUUUCAGGAUCCAGAACUGGACCAGACAGCUUAAAGCAAGAACAUUUGAAGAGGGAGCGCUGAAGUGUCAUGGAAGCCACGUGGACCAAUGGGUGGCUGUUUUAGAGGUUUGGCACAUUUGUGAAAUCAAGUCUUUCCCGACAGACUGACUGGUUAGUGAUUUCCUUCUCUCAUUAUUACUCAUUCCGUGAGCUCUUCUUCCUCCCUCCUCUCCUUAAUGCACAUGCUAACGUUGUUUUGUCUAAUGCAAAUGCAAAAAAUUCAAUCAUUACAGCCAUGAAUCCGUCCAAAAUUAGAUUCCAUCCAUACAUCCAUCCAUCAACCAACAUAAUGAUAUAUAAACCUUACGUCUCUCACCUAACCAAGAGACUUGCCAUUUAUCCUACUGGAGAAACUUAUUAUUAUUAUUUUCAAGUUUUUAUCUUUUUUCACCGACCACCCAUUAAUUGAUUGGCCCAUGACUUGGAUUCCUUGAUGAUCCGCCGCAUGUUCCAUUGUUAUCCGAAGCUACUGAGGUGAUAUGGAUUUGAUUUCUUUUCUUUUUUCAUUUCUUUUCGAGUUUGACUUGAUUGCUCUGGCUCUUUUGCCUUUGAUAUAUGUUUGCGUUAUUUUUAAGAUGAAAUCCUUAUGCAAGUCGGCCAACUUUCCAGGCAAACGGGAAGCCAGAAGAAGAAGCCUACAAAACUUCAAAAAGAUAGAAAGUCCGUCCGUCUAAAUGAUUAUUAUUCUACUUCAAAUGUGGAAAGAAUUGGUGGGGACUGGGGACCCCUUUGUGGGGAAAAGGGUAUCUCCUACUCCCACGAGAUUCCUCUGCUAAAAAGGGUGGCAGAUUUUAGCCACUUGAAGAGUCGGAAGAGAAUAGGGGCAGCAGGGAAAGGCAGCCAGGUCAACUGAAUUUGCUUGCACCUACCUACCAUGGCCGUAAGUAUGGUACUAAUCAACGUGAAAUUCCGUCUUAUCCGAGAAUAAUUAGGGAGGAUCAUGGAAAUCAAAGUUGACACGAUGCAGCUACUCGCAUCAUGCAUUUUUGUUAGUGAAACUUUCCCUGUGAGAAAGGAUGAAGAAUACAGUUCCUUUUCAACGUGAUUUCUAUUGAUUGCUGAAAGGUGAAAGGAAAAGGGAAGGUGGGUGAGAAAAGAGGAAGAAGAAGAAGAAGAAGAAGAAGAAGAAGAAGGUAAAUCUAAAUUAGCUUAUUAAGAAGAAUAUUUAGUGAUAAGUUGAUGGUGGUGGAUGAUGGGUUAUUUCAAGUCUUUUCCAGAGGAAGGAUCUGCCGUUUUUCUGGGGGUGGGUUCGAGUAAGGUAAAGUUUACGCAUGGGUUCGGUCGGUUGGGUCCUACGGCCUUUACUUCCCAGCCAACCAAAACCAAAAUCGGACAAAUUGUUACGCUGCCAAACGGCGUCGUCCGGACACACCAUGUGCUGGCCAGGACAGAAGAUCUAACGCUAUGUCUCGUUCGUCCUUUCUAGUUUCUUCCACCGCUUUAAAAACGUGUGUAUGUGCUUGCGGGAGAUGCAUUUUCCUUCCAGUCGUCAGUUCAUAUGAUGAGAAAGAAUCUUACCAUUCACCGUUGCAUAAGCCCUUAGCUGCUGCAGGCUUAGGCUUGGACUAGUGCUCCGGAAAUUUGGUAUGCACUCAGAAAUCUGUCCGGGCUGGGUGGUUAAAAUACGGUCAACUUGAGUAAUGGACGGGCACGGGGACGGAUCCAAUGGUGUUCGCCCCGUCUACGGAUGCCAUGGGCACCGGUGUUAAGAAUGUGGGACUCGAGAGUUUCGGGUGCUAUUUUAAAGACAGUUAAUCACACUCUAAUCAAGCGGUGGUAAUUCAUCAACAGCCCGGUGCCAUGUUAAAAAGGUGGUUUCUUAGUUUGUUUUAUUCUUCUUAUGUUAUGCAAGUUUUUGGAAAAAAAUUCUAGAAAUUUGUCUAGCUGUAUUUUAUUACAAAAAAGUAUUAUAAGGUUAUCAAAUUUAAACUUAAAGCGUAUUAAUAAGCAAUAAUCAUAAUUUAGUUCAAACNNNNNNNNNNNNAUUUAGAUAAAACAAAAGAAAUAAAUUAAUAAAUCGCCGGUGGAAUAUUUAAUUGUAUUUUAACUUAAACAAUACAAAUGAUUUAAUUUGUAUAUUUUAAAUUAAUAUUAAGUUUUAAAAAAUGUAUUUGUUCCUCUUAAGAAAUACAAUUAAUCACGCUCUCAUUACUUACCCUAACGGCGGAUUUCUAUCCACUAUUAAAUUAGAAUGCACCGUCGACUUAUACCUUGAUUCCGCCUCUGCUUAUUGGGUCUAAGUAUUAUAUAUAUGUGUUUAUCGGCUUUAAGUGUUAUAAAUAUAUGUUUAUCGGGUCUAAGUGUGAAAUAAUUGAACGCUUAAUAUUAUGAUAUUGGAUAUAUAUCAACUAAAGGUUUAGUAUUUUCAUAAACUUACUAUUUCUAUUUUUAAUGAUAGCAAUGCCCUAUCGAAAAUUAUAGCUCAUCGAGAUUCAUUUACGAACAAUAAAGAUACAUCAUGUUAGCAAUAGCAAGCGCAUGAAAAAUCAAAAGUAACACAUCAACUUUUACUAUAAUCUGGUGUUGCCCCACUGAAACUAAGUAAAUUAAAAUACAUUAUUGUAGAUAUUGUAACAUUAAAUUAGAUGAUUGAUUAUAAACAUUUAUGUUCUUUUGGUUUAUUAAGAUUGAACCUGAUAAUUAAAUUUUAAAAAGAUAAAACUUAUACGUGCCCGGCCAAGCCGGGUAAGAUGAUAGUUAGUUUGGAUUGGUUGUUUCAAAUGAGUUGGUUGUUUUAAGUAAGUUGGGUUAAAUGCGUUGAGUUUAGAAUAAUGUGAUAUGGCAUUGGAUGCCGUGGACAAGUUGGCAAUGGAUUCCUCCUCAUCAAGGCAAAACCGAGCAACAAGGGUCAGUCAAUAUCCACAUGAUGAUGCCAGAGACCUUGUCGCGUAGGAAGAAUGAAAUGAAGGAGACGCCAAAGGAAGAAUCGGAAAUUUUAACUUAAUAUUGAUUUAGUAUCCAGAGCACAUCUAUAAAUAACAGAUUUACAGAUGCCCUUCAUUCAAUAACAACCAUUACCAAACAGCACCCUCCCUUCCCCCUUUCUUUCUUCUUCGUCCGUUUUCUUUGCUGCCUAGAGCAAGCCACUUCGAGCAAGGAAGACUCGGAAGGUGACGGACAGAUUGCGAUAUGUCCAGCUACGUUGAUCUUUAAUGCCAACGCCAUUCGAACGUUCUUCCUACGGCCUCAGUCUUGAAGAGAUAUAAGAGAAUGUUCCCAUCACCACCACCAGCUUUGGAACUACCAUCAUCGAAAUAUGCAUUACAUGAACUCAUUCAGCGACAAACGAUGAAGAUCAUAUUGCAUUUUGUUCCUCGAGCUGCCUGGUUAUGAUUCUCACACAUCCAGAGCCAUGAUUAUCUAAUGACAUGCUUGUAGUUAUGUCUUAAGUGCGUUUGAUCAUUGCAUUCUAGAGAUCUGUUCAUUCAACAAACUGAAAUAAAUAAAUAAAUUAGUUAAUUGGUUGGUCUUAGCAUCUCUGUUGCAGCUUAUUCAGCCUUGCAACUUUCUCAGAUAUCCCAUCCAUAUUCAAGUUUCCAGCUUCAAAGAUUCAAAACUAAAUUUGAUUGUUUAGUAAAAGGACAAAUGCAGGAACCAAGCACAUAUUGAGCUGGAAAUUGGUGGGGUGCGCCAAGCCCUUGCAGCAGUGCAAAGCAUGGGCGACACAUGAGGAUUCCCUGCAGCAAGCUACAGAUGCAGAACCUCCCCCUACAAAAAUAAGAUCAAUAUCAUUGUAGAUCAAUGAUCCACAUAUCAGAUAUUAAACUGAUAAGAACAGAUACUACACUUGAUCUUAGCCAAAAGGCCGAGAAAGGUAUGAGCUUUCAGGUGUCAACAGCUGCUAUUUUGUUAGGCAUUAAAGGCACCCGGUGUGGUAACCUAUCUCGACGUAACAAUCAUGGAUAUACGGCAGUCAUAAGAGAAUCUGAUCCAGCUUUAUGUAAUGAAACUAGCUCCUGCAACAAUUUCUUCAAGCUCAACUGGUAGAGCUCUCUCUCAUGGCUUCUGUAGUUGCCAUCUGUUGCUUGUUCCAACUUUCAGAUUAAAGGCGUAUUUUUAAUGUAGUAUUUUCUCUGUCGAACGACAGUUCAGAAAUCGUCCUUCUGAUGAUUCUGUUCUGAAGAUCUGAUGAAGCUAAUAUUGGGGGGAAUGUAUCUGGAAGCAUCACAUCACAACAUCUACAUUGAGUUAACUUCCACAGAUAGCUAAUAGCUUCGUGGUAGGAUCAUGUACGAGCCUAUGAACUUCAAAAUAAGCUAAAUCCUACAUGAACCUGUUACAAUGACAGAAGAAUAUCAGAUGGAAUCAAUCGAAUUUUCCCACCUUGACAGCCAUUAUGACGUAAAUGAUGCCAUGAAGAAACUUCAUCAAGCAGCGAGACACUCUCGCACUCCACACUAUACUACUCACGAAUCAGCCUCCGGUUCUCAUCACAUGGAGCGAAAAAAGGGAAGGUUUUUAAGUCUGUGAGACAGCAUACACGACCAUCCGAGCCAAGUAUGUCAGCUCAGAACAAUCCUCUACAGCUUAGAAUGUUUCAAGAAACAAUCUAAGCCAUUAAUCACGCUCUAAUCGCGUGUCUGCCAUUCCAUCGAUAGCUUCAGGGUAUGAUAAUGCUCUCACCAGAACCACCAAACCUUCGAGCUUCGAGUUAGCAAAGAUGUGAGUUCUGUCCUAGAAUUUAAAAUUCUGAUGUUGGAAGAACAUGAAACAUGGAUGAAUGAUGAAUCAUCUGAGGAACUGGCACUUGAUUAGCCGCAUAAGGAGUUACAUGGAAAAGGACUGGAGUUCAUGUGGUUAUGGAAAUGUCCGGUGGAAACAUUACAGGAUAACAUCUACAUUGAGUAACCUUCCCCUUGUGGAUAGCUUCGGCAAACGAUUGAGCUCCGCGCUGCAAUCAUGGAAAUCAGGUACCCUACAUAAACUUGUUACAGCUCAAAAUAACAUUAGAUGAAUCGAGUCGAUAUCCUCGCUUUGAUAACCAGCAUUGUGUUCCGUCACUUCCAGCCAACAUGAACUUCGUCGAACAGUGACACCAUCUCGAACUCCAUACUAGCCGUACUCGGGCCUUCUACCAUCUCGAACUCUACAGAAUGAAGCAUAAAAAGAGGGGGAUUUCUACCAUCUCGAAGUCUGUCAGAAAGCCACGAAACCAUCUAGGCUGCCGGAGCAAGCCGAGAACGAUCAUCAUCUAAAGCCAUAGAUCAUCCAAGGACAAUCAACGCCGUUAAUCACGCUCUGAUCAAGUGGCCAUACACCAUCUCGAACUCCAUACUAGCCGUACUCGGGCCCUCUAUUCGUCCCGUCACUUCCAGCCAACACCAUCUCGAACUCUACAAAAUGAAGCAAAAAAAGAGAGAUUUUGAAGUCUGUCAGAAAGCCACAAGACCAUCCAGGCUGCCGGAGCAAGCCAAGAACGAUCAUCUACAGCCAUGGAUCAUCCGAGGACAAUCAAGGCCGUUAAUCACGCUCUGAUCAAGUGGUUAUAAAUCAUCCACCAGACUUGAGUUCUUGUCUCCUUAGUGCUAAAGGACACAGAGGUACGAUCCUAUAGAACAGAUCCUGUUCAAGUAAGGUCGUGCUAUGAAAUAUGAUCCCUGUAGUUUAUAUAGACAAGAGCUGUGUUCCUUUUCAGAGAUGUGGUAUUAAUGCACUGUUAUGUUGCUGCUGUUUUGGGCAUUAUUGUCAAGGCAAGAAUGCUGGAUUUGAAUGAUGGACAUACAUAUACAUUCAGAAGCAGAAUCUGUACAGAAACAAAGGAUUUCAAGCAAGAAGGGUGAUCUAGACCCAAGAAACAAAAAAGGGUUCAUAUGCCAUGUCUCACACGGCUUUCGCCAAAGGUUUUCAUGUUCGAUUGUGGACAAGAGCUGCAUGAUCGUUGUUUUCUCCAAUGUCUAAUCUCUCAUGUACAUGCAGCUCGAAUUCCUCGGUGUUGGAACUAAGCCAUCAUACACAAGUGCAAGAAGCCCUCGAAUUCGGUCUGCUCAAAUCUCUACUAAUACAACAGUGGGCUUGAUUCGAUUUUUCCAACUGUUCAAUUACUCAAACUGCUCGAGUCCAGGACGUCUCAUUUGCCCCCCAAAUAGGAGAAUACACAUGAAAGAGCGUCAAUUUCGUUAAUUUUUAUAGACCGAAUACUCAUAUGAACGUUCGAACUAACUUGAAAGUCCUCGAUACACAAGUGAAAAGAGCUCGAAUUGGUUGGCUUCAAAAGCCUCUUUUUGAACGAUGUGGUCUUUAAUGCGCUGUUCUGCUACAAACAAAACGUGGGCUUCGACUGUCAACAAAACAAGAGGUAGUAGUAUGACCUGCAAACGACAGAAUCUAGAACCUUAAGUAAAUGUUUCCAAACCUGACUGACCUAGAACUUGGCAAGUAACUUACUUAGACCCUUAACCAGAUACAAAACCAUAUUGAAGAUUGACUUUUCGAGGUUCGGGCAGAAUGAGUUGUUACAACUUACAACAACAUAUAACAGGUAAGUCACGAUUCAUUUUUAGCAGUGCUCGGCGCAGAAAUUUAACAGCGCUAUAAGUGGAUUAAUGACCAAGAGUGAUUAGCAAUAGCACCUGACCGAGGAAGAAAAGAGGUUCAAAUAGUGGUGAGUUAAGUUACUCGGAGCAAAAUCGUCAAACAAGCCAAAAACAGUUCAAGACAAGAAAAUGGUUAUUGGUGUACAUGGUAGUAAAUUCGUAAAAGUGUGAAUAUCCGUAGAACGCAUCCAAAAUAGACUUAUAGAUACCCUUUCCACCCAUUCAAAACAAAAAUGAAUACGAUAAUAAAUUCAUAACAAGUGUAAACGCCCGUUACAGUGUCACGAGCCUUAGUGUGUCCCCUGAAUCUCCACCCUGUAUUUCUCUACAUGGGAGGUAAUUUAAUAACCACAGUUAUGAAACACUAUCUUUCCUUAACCACCCUCCAUUGUCCAUGUUUGAGUUAGAAAGACUCCAAAGGUGACGGACAUAUUACGACAUUUCCUUCUACUUCGAUCUUUAAUACCAACGCCGUUCGAGCUUUUUUCCUACGGCCUCCAUCUUUUGAGUUACCAUCGUUGAAAUAUACAUUAAGGAUUGCGAUUUCUUCCUCAAGCUGCUUCUAUGAUUCUCAGUUCUCACUCAUUCACAGCCAUUAUCAUAUAGCAAUUUGUUCGACUCAGCUGGGUAGACCUCUCAACAGAAGCUAAAAAAUUUAACCAGAUUCAGAAACUAUCUAGAACGUUAGCUAAGACAGCACAUUGAACUGAGAAAUUUGGUAGGGGCCGCGCAAACGCAGGCUGCCACAGGAACAAAUUAUGAUGUAGGCUCUCCUACUUUGAGGAGAGGUUAGAGUGGCACCCCUCCGGUAUGUGCAAUGGAGGUCACCACUCUGGGCCAUGACUCUUAUUAAUCAGCCAUUGACCCCGUCCAGGUAACUAUGUUUCAACGUUGCUAUUCCUUUCUGUAUCCAAUCUGUGUUCCUUUAGCCAAUGUGGCAUUUUUGAACAAGAAUAACAGGAAUGCGAUCUUUUGGUUGUUGAGCAUCAAAGAUUUUAUACGUUUAGGCUUUUAACAUGUUUGAUUGUUACUUUAAGUAUAUCGUUCAGACUUCAGUAAGCUCUACUAUGCCUUCCCUCUAAGUCUUGAGCACGUUUCUUGUAAUGCAGAGAGCCAAAUGAAGAUUUUUGGCAAACAAUGUUGAUAAUUAUCAGCGACCAGAGAUCAUGCUUAAUGAAUGUGAUCUCUGAUUCUAUAAUGCAGCCUUAGAAUCCAUUCUUACGGAGUAGUUGUCGGGACGAAAAGCCGAUGCGGAUUAGAGAUUAGGCGUCAACUUGGGAUGAGGAGAUGAAUUUAACCAGCUAGCAGAAAGUUUUAUGUGAGAAGAGAGACGGGAUCUAGCACCUUAGAGGGAACCAAGCCUGCAGUAAAUGCAGCAAAAAAGGGGUUAAAUCUGUCAGACAUCAUACAUGGCCAUCCGAGCUAACGAUGUCAACUCAGAAUGAUCAUCUACGGUCUGAAUGAUCCAAAGACCAUCGAAGCCGUUAAAUAUAGUUUCAAAUGGAAGAUUUUUGGCAGUUACGUAGACCAAGAUGUUUCCUCAGGGUUUAUGCAUGCAGGUUUGGAGUGCAUCUGAAUGCUAGCUCCAAAUAUGGAUUUCUGCAGGUUGGAGCUUAAUUUCCUUGAAAUGGAAGAAGCUGAAAAGAAGUAAAAAUAGAAAGGUCUGGGACUCUAAAGAUCGUUGGUGAAAUAGGGUACAAAGACUGAACUCAAGCCUGGGUUUUGAAAUUUGAACUUAGAGAUUGUGGUGCUGAUCCAGUUAACGAACAAAACCUCCAGUAACAAGGCUCGGUUUUCAUAUCGAAUAUCUGAAUUGAUACAAGAGUUCACUGAAAGUCUGAAACUCAAAAACAGUGCACAAUUGCAAGGCUAGCUGAUGCGCGAAAACAGGUCCAGCAAUGUCAGCCAGAACUCGUCAAAACAUUUAGACUACCAGAUUGUGGGGCGGAUCCAGUUAAGGAACAAACCAUCUAAAAAUAGAUGAAUGCCUCUUAAAAGCAGAGCACGAAAGAAUAGUUCGCUAUGUACUCACUGCGAGGCUGAUUGAGAAACAUGCCUUUUAUGCUUUUAACUUGAAGGCUGGGAUGUCAUCAAAUCACCAAGGAUGGAACAUUAUCAGUCAUCGAAGUUGAAUUUCUGCAUUUGCAAAAGAACCACUGUAGUCAGGUCACCAGUUGAUGUGAUUAUUGUUUACAUAUUUAUUAAUGUGUUCGAGUUCAGUAGACGGAAGAGUAAGUAGGUAAACAAUUGAAAAUUGAAAAGUUUACAACUGGGGGAAUUGUAGGGCUUUACCCAGGAGGGAGCCCUUCCAGAAAUUCUCGAAGGCCACAGACAAGCCGCGGCCUAGGAGGGGGUUUGGAAAUAGUUUUCAACCAGCAAUAGACGCGCCUCGGUUGUUACCUCAUUAGCUGCGUCAUUGCCCCAAGCGCAAAGAUGCUUUCCUCUGACUGCUGAACCUUGAUUUUAUACACCUGCUUCCUUACUCUCGCAUGAGUUUCCCAGAUGUGGUAUAUCUAUCUGGAGCCCAAUAGGUUACUCCCAUUGCAGGCAAAAGAAAGGAAAAUCGUUCUACACUACAUUUGACAAUAUAACGUUAGUAGUCCAGUUGUAAGGUAUAGUCUUAUGCAGAGCCCAUCCAGAACAAAUUUACAUAUACUAUUUGCACCCAUUCAAACCAAAACGAAUAUGGUAAUAACUUCAUUGUAACAAGUGUGAACGCCCGUUACAGUGUCACGAGCCUCACGCUUGUCGUCCCCGAAUCUCCACCUCGAAUCUGUCUAAUUCAAAGAUUACAAUUAUGAAACACUGUCUUUCAUUAACCACCCUCCCUUCCCCCUUUCUUCUCUGUCCAUUUUCGGGCAAGAAAGACUCCAAAGAUUACAAACAAAUUACGAUAUUUUCCAGCUACGUUGAUCUUUAAUACCAACGCCAUUCGAGCUUUCGUCCUACUUCCUCCUUUUGGAAGAGAUAUGUUCGAUACAUACUAUAUAAUAAGACAAUGUUAUCAUCACCACCACCAACUUUCGAGCUUAAUCCGGUUACCGUCGUGGAAAUGUACAUGAACCCGUUCAACGAAAAAUGAACAUCAGAUUUAAUUUCUUCCUCGAGCUGUGCCUAUGAUUCUGGCUUCUUAGCCACCUGCAACAACUUCUUCACCUCACCUGGGUAGACCUCGAACCCUAAGUCAUGACUCCAAUGCACAUACAAAAGAGAUCAAAGUGUUACAAGAUCAAAACUAGCUCUAAGUUCUGUGAAGACUACAAUAUUGAACUGAAAAAUUGGGUAGGGGCCGCGCGAACGCAGGCCCCCGCUGCAACAAAUUAUGACGUAGGCUCUCCUACUUUGAGGAGACCUUAGAGUGGCACCCUUCCAGUAUGUGCAAUGGAGGUCACCACUCUAGGCCAUGACUCUUUAUGAUCAGCCAUUGACCCCGUCCAGGUAAGUAUGUUUCAACGUUGCUUUGCCUUAUGUCUUUAUACCCAGGACGACUCCAUUCUGUGCACUAGCUGCCAGUGCGGUAUAUUGUUCUAAUGCAUAUUCUAAGCUUCAGUUCUGUAAGCUUCUGUUAUGUCUUGUCUCUAAGUCUUAACACAUUUUCUUCUAAUGCAGAUUGUCAUCCUUGGCUGAGAAACACAAACAGUACCUAGCGCUCACAUUGAAAUCGAAGAGCCAAGUCAAGAAUUUGGGCAAACAAUGUUGAUGCACAGCGUGAAGAAAAAUAGCAAGCAGCCGUCAUGCUUAAUGAAUGUGAUCUCUGAUUCUAUGCUGCAGCCUUAGAAUCCAUUCUUACGGAGUAGUUAUUGGGAUUGGAGAUCAGGCAUCAACUUGGGAUGAGGAUUACAAACAGCGGAAUAGAACCAGCUAGCUGCAGAAACGUUUAUGUGAGAAGAGAGACGGAAUCUCGCACCUUAAUGAAGGUACGAUAAUGUUUUCACCACCAACAAGAUUCGAGCUAGUCGUCGUGGAAAUAGGACUUUCAUACAUGAAUCUGUUCAAGGGACAAAAAAAAUCAGAAUGCAGUUUCUUCCCUUUAUCCUGCUUAAAAUAAGUAUGAUUCUCUCCAGUUGACACCCAGCUUCUGCAACAAUUUCUUCAAACUCAACUGGUACAGCUCUCAUGGCUUUUUAACCAUGUAGUUGCUAUCUGUUUGUUUGUUUGCUUGUUUGUGCGGAAGUGUGUGUUCAACUUUCAGAUAGCUGUCCCUCAUCUAGACGAGUUAACACUUCCACGGAUUGGUUCAUCGUAGGACCAUGUACGAGCUACAAACUUGGAAAUAAGCUCAAUCGUACACUAACCUGUUACAUGACAGAAGAAUAUCAGAUGGAAGCAAUGCUAUGACGAAACUUCAUGAUACUCAGCCUCCGGUUCGUGACAUGAAGUAAAACAUUAAUUAGCCACAACAAGACCAUCCAGGCUGCCGAAGCAAGCCAAGAACAAUCAUAUACAACUGUGAUCAUCCAAAGACAACAAAGGCCAUUAAUCACGCUCUGAUCGAAUGGUCACAUUUCAUCCAUCAAACUCGAGUUCCUGUCUCCUUAGUACUAAAAGGACACAGAGGUACAAUCCUAUAGAACAGAUACUCUUCAAGUAAGGUCAUAAUGGGAAGAAGUACAGUUCUAUAGGACAAAUCCUGUUAAAUUAAGGUUAUAACGGGAAGUACGAUUCUCGAUUACAUCUCCUCUUUUCAAGUAGGAAAGGUGAUCGAGGUUCGAGACUCAAGAACAAAAGGACUCAUAUGACGAAUUUGGGGUGGGCAACCCCCGAAACGAUGAAACUCUAUGUAUAGUUCUCGAAAUUGAAGGUUUUUGUAUUAGUGGACUCUUCCUCUUGAAAUCUCCGUCCGACAAUUUUAUUCCGCCAUCGUCGAUGCUACACCAAUCCAUACAGGACGUACACCUUGGUUUCUUUUGUCCUUAAGCUGAACUUAGGCUGCUACAAUGCUUGUACCCAGUGUCUUUGUUUGGAAAUUCUUCAGCUGCAGAUUUCAGCCCUUUCGAUCCGAUCAACUGUUAACUGCUUGAUGUGUGCUAUAAAGUGUCUCUUCGUGGAGCUGUCCAGGCCAGAAACAGAAACUUUAAAUAAGUUUCGAGUGCCCUCUGCACCACCCAACAAAUUAAAUGCGGAAAUGAAGAUAACAAUAUGGACCAGUACGUACAACCACCACAAUCUCGUUGAUAUAUUUUCAGACUCCCUCGCUGUAACCCUUCAUCUGCCUUGGGAUUUAUUACAUUGUUUUUCCCAUCCUUAAUCUUAAUCACACAAACACGUCACAAUACAAUAACCCAAACAUAACAGAGACAUCAAUUCUAAAGAAAUAAAUAAAACUCGAACAAAGAAGUCUGACAAUAGAAAAUUAAUACUCUCGUGAUCACUCAGUAAUUAGCACGGACAUCGUUUCAUCAGGUGCAUGUGAAUUAUGGAGUCUAUGAAGAAACCAUGUCACAUAAGAGAGUCGGAGAAAAACGUGUUGGAGAUAAUUAUACUAAAGCAAAUUAUGAGCUAUCGGAUUAUGUUCUCUCCCCCAGAGUGUUUUUCAUUUUAUUUAUUAUUGACCAUAUUGGUCUUUAUAGUCUUUUUAUAGAUUCUACAGUUGAUUCUUGAGUCGUUUGGGUUUUCUAGGUCUUUCUCUUCCAUGUAUGACAACCUUGUAGGAAUAUAUUGGUGAAAUUAAUGAUUCAACCGUAAUUAUAUAAGGUGGUUUGUAAAAUCAUUGAUCUAAUUUGUCAUUUCUCUACUCCAUAUUUUGAAAUUUCAUGACAGUUCUCAGAUUCUUUCCAUCUCUGAAAAAAUGUAUAACUUCCUCAAAUUUACAACUACAAAAUUUCCAAAAAAUCUAACGAUCAUAAAUCAAAGGUUCAAUGACUUUUUCUUUGUCAAAGAUAUCAAAUCAUGAUAUUCAAAAAGAGAAAAUAGUUACUGAGGAGAAUACAGUAGCGUAAUUGUAAAGCAUAUAACUCUAACAAGAAUCAAGAAUUACCAAAAAGAUCCUUUAACUUAACUUAUGUUACACUUAUAAAAAAAACUUCUUAUGUUACAAAUUCAUCCUUCUUCCCCAAAUAUUUCACGGAAAACCCCUAUCUUCGUGGGGGAGGUGUUGGGUGGGGGGUAGGGGCUCAAACACUAAAUUUCUACCUUCCUUUUCAAAACUUUAUCACCUUCAAAUGUUUAAAUUACUUAAUUAAUCGAACAUUCAUCUACCAAAGUUUAGAAAAAAUUUCAAAUAACUUCCAAUAAUCUCCGAUAAAUUUUCGUUGAUCUGGAGUAAUAAUUGGAAUUCGAAACUUGACUGCCGGCUCAAUUUCAUCUCUACGUUAAGUAUGUAAAAAGAGGUCACACCAUGGGUACCCAUUUCCUCGAUUACUAGUUAUAUUCCUUUCUAUUCAUUAAAUUGUUUUCGAGUUGUAAAAAAAUAAUCAUUUGUGCAUAUCCCGUUUCAAUUUUAUCUAAUAUAGGUGUCCUAAUUCUGAUCCACUCUCCACAAUUUUAAAAAUGGUUUGCCGGGAAUAAAAAUUCCAUUUUCUGAUGGGUUCUUUAAAAAAAUAUUGAAACAUGUUAAUAACGUCACGAUUAGAAAUAAAAGAUGACAAUUCCGUGUCGGAAAGUGGUUCGCUGGAGAGGGGGAAAAAUAUGAUAAAUGCGGGAACAAAAGAUUUUGCAACCGUCGACCGGAAGAAGUUAGAAAUGUGAAAAACGGAAAGAAAAAAAAAGGAAUCGAGACAGCAACCGCCCCGACCACACUAAGCCCGCAAUCGUGUCCAAAAGCAAGUAUAAAUAGCGGGCUGGCUGGCGGGCGGGUCACGGUCCAUCUUAUUCAAGUCAAAGCUCCUAGAAACCGAUGACCAACCAAUCCGACACCACUUCUGACCCAAUCCCACAUUUAAAUGUCAAACAAUAACCAUGACUGCCACCAAAAUUAAAUAAAUAAACAAUUAAAUCUCUUCUAUUUAAGAAAUGGGAAAAUCGCAUUUUGUCGUUCUGCGACACUGCCACAUCAUUUCUUCCAAUCGCUAGCUGUUUUUUCCACUCAUUCUCUCUCCCCCACCACAUUGAAAUAAAUCGAUAGCAAGCAUACUCAGAGCUCUGCUUCCGCUGCCGCCGUCAGACAGCCGUCUCUUACCGGCUCCUCUCCGUUUCUUUUAACUUCCCCUUCUCUCCCUUCUACCGUUAUUAUCGCUAACGGUCGCUCUCUUCUUCUUCUUCUUCUUCUUCACCAAAACCAUGUCCUUCUUCUUCAUUCUUCCUUAUUUGUUUUCUUUCCUUUUCUUCCUCCUCCUCAUUGAACAGAUCUCCUACCUCCUCAAGAAACGGCACCUCCCCGGCCCGACUUUAGUCUUCCCUUUCCUCGGCAGCGCUAUCUCUCUCGUCUCCGAUCCCACCAAAUUCUGGGACGCUCAAUCCUCCCUCAGUGCCUCCCUCGGCUUCUCCGCCAACUACCUCGUCGGCAAUUUCAUCCUCUACAUCCGCGACUCCGACAUCUCCCAACUCGUUUUCUCCAAUGUCCGCCCCGACGCUUUCAAACUCGUCGGCCAUCCCUUUGGCAAGAAGCUAUUCGGCGAGCACAAUUUGAUUUACAUGUUCGGCCAGGAUCAUAAGGACAUCCGCCGUCAGAUUGCUCCCAAUUUCACUCCUCGUGCUCUCUCCACCUACACCUCCUUACAGCAGAUCAUCAUCCUCAAGCAUUUGAAGCAAUGGGAGAAGCUAUGCUCCGACGACCCCACCCGAACCAUCUCCCUCCGUUUUCUUGCAAGGGAUAUGAACCUCGAGACCUCUCAGACUGUCUUCGUCGGGCCGUAUCUAACUCAGGAGGCUAGGAUUAGGUUUAAGGAGGAUUAUAAUCUGUUCAAUGUCGGCUCCAUGAGCCUCCCCUUUGACCUCCCUGGCUUCGCCUUUCGGAAAGCGAUUCGAGCCGUUGACCGCCUUGCCGCCACGCUGGCCGAAUCCACGAAGCAGUGUAAGCAGAGGAUAGGGAAAGGUGAGGAGGAGCCGACUUGCUUGGUGGAUUUCUGGAUGCAGGAGACUCUGAGAGAAAUAGCGGAGGCGAAAGCUGCCGGAAAGCCAGAGCCGUCUCAUACCAGUGACACCGAAAUCGGAGGCUUUUUAUUCGAUUUCCUCUUUGCUGCUCAGGACGCGUCGACUUCGUCAAUUCUAUGGGCGAUUACGCUGCUGGAUUCGCAUCCGGAGGUGCUGGCAAAAGUGCGGGCUGAAGUGGAAGGCGUGUGGUCGCCUGAAUCGGACGCGCUAAUCACGGCGGAGCAGUUACGAGAGAUGAAGUACACGCAUAUGGUGGCGCGUGAAGUGAUAAGGUUCAGGCCUCCUGCAACGCUGGUCCCACACAUGGCGAUGAGGGACUUUCCGUUGACGGAGUCGUACACUGUACCCAAGGGGACGAUCGUUUUCCCGUCGGUAUACGACAGCUCGUUCCAAGGGUUCACGGAAGCAGGUCGGUUCGACCCGGAGCGGUUCUCGGAGGAGAGGAAGGAGGAGCAGAUUUACAAGAAGAACUUUCUGGCGUUUGGAGCCGGGUCGCAUCAGUGUGUGGGACAGAGGUAUGCUCUGAACCAUCUGGUUCUGUUCAUCGCAUUAUUCAGCACGUUGCUGGAUUGCAAGAGGAUGAGAACGGACGGCUGCGAUGACAUCGUUUACAACCCCACGAUCUGUCCGAAGGAUGGGUGCACUGUCACGCUGUCGAAGCGGUGUGCAAUGUAUCCGAAGCUGUCGUUAAGUUGAAAUCCAGACAGACAGUAAAAGGCAUCUGCUUGGCGAAUGGCGAUAUGAUUGUCUCUGAUUGCUGGUGUGUUUCAGUGUCAUGAAAUCAUGAAUGCAUGUUGAUUUUUAUCAUUAUUGGUCAGUUGGGUCAUCCCCGUGCCUCUGUGUUACUUUCUUUGUCCCGGAUGAUUGAAUUCUUUUUUUCACAAAUAUUGUUACGUGGGAGCUUUGGGAUUGGUGUUUGGUGGAUAAUUGGGAUUUAUUUUGUAUUGUGGAACCUCAAACUCUCUCAAUAAUCAUCUUAUGGUGGAUAAUUUCUACCUUUUUAAUAUUAUUAUUUUGUCAUUAUUUGAGUUAUGUUAUGUUUGGUAAUUGAAAUUAAGAUUUCUAAAAAAAUUAAAUUGAAAUAAUAUAAAAUAAUUAAAAUCAAAAUCGAAUUCUCUUAUUUAAUUAAUAUAUCAAAUGACUUUCGAAACGCUUUAAACACCAAAUACUUAGGCAUCGUUUUCCACUUCAAUUUUCUAAAUAAGGGGAAAUUUAAAAUUCGUUGAAAUUAAAAUUGAGUGGAUUUAAAACAAAAAAAAUGACCGAAAAGUCCCUGCAAACCCUACCCUUAUCUAUCAUCAUUGUCUUCCACCUUCUUCAUCUCCCAAAAAAUCACAGAUGACAGCAACCAGUCGUUGGAAAUCGAAAUCAUCUUCGUCCAUUAAACGCAGAAUCCUACAAAAUCAGAUAGUAUCAACUACAAAAACAUUGCAAAACUCUACUGUAGUCAUAUUCGAAUAAAGUGAAGGAUACUUACGUGGUCGAUGAAAUCGAGGAAGAUGAGUGACGACUACUGCACUCAAGAACGACGACGACCAGAAGAUACAAGAUGAGAUCGACCCCGUGCAAAAUGAGUGGGAUUUGGAUAAUCCGUCUUGUUCUAAUGGGAUUGGGAAAGUCCGUUUAGAAUAGAAAUUGGGCUUGUCCGAUUUUGUAAUAUCUACGAUUUUAGUCCUCAAAUUUCAAACGGAAAACAUGGAUUUGAUCUCGCGCGUGGGAUUUGACCAAUUUACAGGCCCAAUUCCAAAGCGAAAAACAAUGCCUCAAGCAAGAGAGUCGAGGUUAUGACUAGAAAAUUAAAAAACUUAUUAAAUUUUGACAUAAGAAUCUGUUUGGAUGAACCAAUUGAUGGAUGUCUGGUCCAUACUACAAGUUCAUAACCCAAUUUCUACCAGGGCCACCCAAAUCGAUGCUCGGUGUCCACUCUAGCACCGUCAGGACAGUUUCAACAAAAAAAUUGUAUGUAAUGGUUUUUCUACAUAAAAUGAUCCGGUGGAGGUUUAGGACAUUUUCGUUCCAAAAUUUUAACAAUUGUUAAAAUAAUAUGAAGGGUGAGAUGAGAUUUAAAUAACAUUUAUUAAGGAGUUAUAUGGACGUGAUAAAUUAGAAAGUUUUUUAAUUUAAAAAAUUAAUUAACAAUGUCACAUAACUAAAUAGAUUACAUUUUAAGAAAAAAUAUUUAUGGUUAGAAUUUAUAUUAUAAAUGAUUUAUUACUAUUGAUGGAAAAGUAUUGUUAAGAAAUAUAUAAAUGAUGAAUAGAAAUUGCUAACCAAAUUAAGGAUGGAGGUAAUUGAAAAUUGUUCGUUAAAUAAAUUACUAAACUUAAUAGUUAAUGUGAACAUAAUUAGAAAUUUAUAAAUUAAUUUUAAAAUAAAGAUGACCUUAUGAAGUCAUCAUUAAAUCCUUAAAGACAUCUGUGACAAAGUGUGUAAUGAUAUUGGAGAUUAAUUUCCGUGUUCAUCUUCAAUCAUGACCGAAGCAAAGAGGCUUCUCAUGGCAACGAAAUUUGUUGAAGAUUUUGGUUUGCACAUAAUUAUUAAGUUGGAUUGCCUGUCCUCAUCCAUGCUACCACAGGUCGACUCACAUCAUGGCCUUGUCAUUAGUAUGCUUGAAAUUACCGUAUAAAUAGGUUUGGCAUUGGCUAAGCCCGCGCUGGUUAUCCGUGGGUUUUAUCCGCAAAAUGGGUUUUUUUGAUCCGUUGACCAGGCCCAUUGACGGACACCGGGCGACUCGAAAUCCGUUUGAUCCGGUUAGUAGGUGGUGUUGGAUCCAAUGCUAUCAGCCCUGAGACCCACCCGACGGAAAAUUCGUUAAAAAAACAACGCAAUUUUGAUUUUAAUAUAUAAGUCUAUCCGCGUCUUUAAUAAUUUUCAGACCUAGCGGCCGCCAUCACAAAUCCAUUUUCUCUCAAACCCAAACCCUAAAUUUUUCUGAUUUCUUUCGAUUCUCUCAUUCCCAACCUCGACAAUUCCCUUAAGUUGCUCUUCACUGAAAAAUCCUCCAAAUUCCCAGCCUAUUUCACUGUCUCCCCAUGUAUUUCAUUAAAUCCGCACUUGUUUUCAUCCAAUUAGAUCCAAGAUACAAUGACUCGGUCCGCCGAUUUCGUGGAUUACACCUCUCAAAACAGAGAUUUAGUUGAUUAGGGUUCAUAUCUCCCUCCGAAUCGUUGAUUACAAUCACAUAUGAGAUAACUUCAUUGAACUUGGUUGAUUCCUUCCUUUCUCUUUCCAAGUACUUAUUUAUUGUCUUCUUUUAUUUUGACCGUUAAUCUUCUUCUUUGUAAUGUGCAUGUACAAGUGAUAUUGUUGUGGAGGCUAUGGAAGGAGUAUUCUCUGCUAUAUCCGUUCAAGAUUUUGUCAUCGAAGAACCCGCUAUUGUGGGUAAGGAAUAUAAUGUUAGGAUUCAAUUAUUUAAUGAUAUAUGUAACUGUUAAGUGUUAACUAUUUAACUGAUUAAAAACAUAAAAUUAGGAUCAAUAACGAUGUUUAUCAAGUCAUCAUUCAGCUUAGAGGACUGACUAGCAAAGCAAGGCAGCAACAUUGUUUAUCAAGAUAUGAACUUGUUGUAGUUUUUGAUAAUCAAAUCUAUUCUAUAAUUCUGUACUUCAAUUUUUGAAAUUUGAUUUUUACCGAUCAUUUGUAGGAUUAUGAAUUCUGAUUAUUGUUCUUGGAUUAUUCUAAUUCUUCAUUAAUCUGAUUGUUGUUGCUUCUUGUAAAUUGGAUGUUGGAUCGGACACUGAAGUCUAGAAGAGUGGUGUUUUAUGAGUUUAUCUAUUAUUCCGUUGAGCAAGCCUAAAUUUUACAAUUUUCUGUUUGUCGAACAGUUUGGAAUUCUGUUGGUAGAUGCCGAAUAUGAGUAACAUCCUACUCAUGUCUGAAGUAAAAGUACUAUUAAAAAGUUUUAUUAUUGCCUUCUGAAAAAGUAUGAAGUUUUAAGUUUGAAUUGAAUUGAAUCAUCUUAAAGUUUUUGUCUGUCAUAUACUAUCAUAGUAUUAUCGUUUGUACAAUUGCAAUUUUUGAGCAUUUAUUUUCAGUUGUACGUGGGUUGAUGGGGAUCUGUGGGUAUCUGAUAUCCGUUACCGGUCGAUAAUGAAUUGCACCUGAACCCCCGAUCCGUCCGAAUGCCAAGCAUACAUAUAAGAGAAAAUUAUUGCUCAAUUCGACUCAAUUACUUUUCCAUUGUCCCUAGAAGUCUUAAUAAUAUGACCGAUUUAGUUACAAAAUCUUGACGGGCUAGUUUGUUACCUCCUAAUCGGACCCAUAACCUUAUGAAUUUUUUUUCUUUUGAAUGGCUUGUUUGAUUAUGAAUCAAUUGAGAUUUGUUUUAAAAAAAAUUAAAAGGUAUUUAGAAUUAACUACAGAAGUUGUUCUUAAAAUUCUCAGAAAUAAAAUAUUGAUUGGCUUACGUGCGAAGGAAAAUGGCUAGAUAAAAAAGAACAAAAUAAAUAAAUAAUAGGGAAAAAGGAAGUCUAACGAAACCCUCUCUUUUUCUCGACUCUUGAACCAAAAUGACCGGAGAAGGAGAAGGCAGGGGCCUCGUUGCCGCCGGCGAAAAUCCUGAUAAACCAUACUACUACGGAACCUUUCAAGGCGUCGCAAAUUACUAUCAGCCGCCUCCUCCUCCUCCUCCG
This 70951-nucleotide long non-coding RNA is filed under the name Linum usitatissimum (flax). Its description in RNAcentral is "long non-coding RNA (LUSI_LNC005301)". Lineage: Eukaryota; Viridiplantae; Streptophyta; Magnoliopsida; Malpighiales; Linaceae. The record is from RNAcentral.